Molecule: long non-coding RNA, 50811 nt
Filed under: Medicago truncatula (barrel medic)
Lineage: Eukaryota; Viridiplantae; Streptophyta; Magnoliopsida; Fabales; Fabaceae
Description: long non-coding RNA (MTRU_LNC001196)
Source: RNAcentral
AGUCGCAACCGUUCAUAACGGCCAUUUUCUAUUCUGUAAGAAUGAACUCUACGGAGCUCAGACAGGAUAACCUAUGGUAUGGGUCGCAAUAAGAUAGAUAAUCUUCACAAGAUAACAAACAAACCACACCACAUCUGUAUUUUUGAACGUGGCUUAUUUUAGUGAACACAACUUUCACCUGUGUAAUAGGAGGAAUAAAUAAUAAAUAAUAUCAGACAUAAAUAAAUACAUUUGCAUUGUGCGAACUUAACUAGGAUAAUGUAUAUUAUAUAUCGAGGUUGAUGUUCGAAUUUCGGACACUUUAUUUAUUCAUAUUUAAGGUUGAUGUUAAGGGUAAUGAUAUUUUAAUAUAAAAAUUUGAAAAACUUAUGAGAUAAUUUUUUUAUUUUUUUUUAGAAUUAUGAGUUAGCUUAUAAAACCACACAAAAAACAAGACAUGCGAUUUAUAUAAUUUCUUUUUCUCUCGGUUAAAUUAACACUUGGUUUUAUAAUUUGUCCCGUAAGUUUUUCAAUUUUUAAUGAUCAAAUAACAGUACUCCAGCGUUAAAGAAUAGUGUAUUAGUUUAGUGAAAAACUUACCAAGUUGCAUUUAGUGAUUGAAUAGAAGAAAUAUCUUUCUAGAAUAUAAGAGAUAAAAUGUGAACAUCAAUUUGGUACCAUCAAAUUGCACUGUUUUGGAGAUAAGUAAAAUGUGAUCAAUAAUUAUUCUAUUAUAUAUUGAAUUUGAAAUCUCAUAAAGCAAGAAGUAGAAUUUUUUUUUAUAGAUGAAUUGUUAAUUAAAAAAAACUUAAUUAUGUAAAUUAUCCCUGUAAAUAAAGGUCACUCGAAUUCUGAUUCAUGCAAUUACCAAUCAUUUUAAACAAACAGUGCAAUUACUAAUCACUUGUAACUAGGUUCCUAAUGUCAUUUUCUUGUUGAUGUGGUGCUUAUUUGUUGACUAGCCAUGGUGACUAGGCAACAACUACGUUGACUUCGUAAAAAUUGCAUUGAUUGGACCAAAAUGCCUCUGACGGUUCAAGACAAAAAGAAAAAGACCAUUGCACCCUUAUUCUUCCUAGAGAAAUGGUUUAUUGCUGAAUAUGUUGUUAGAGAAUUUAUUUUCAGAGAACCAUUAACUGAGAGAAGGAGUCUGCAACAAUUGGACCAGAGAACUGGCUUUGUGUAAGGAGAAGAGAUUUUAUGGUGUCGAUUUUGUUAAACUAUGUGAUGGAACAGAAUAAUGAGGCGACGAUGAAGCUGACAGCUCUUCGGCCACAUCUCUUGGCGAUGACGUCGACGCCUGUGGUGAUGGAGAGAUAGAGGUCGACGAUGGGUUGGAGAGAUGAGAAUCAAUGAUGAUGUUGUUAAAGCAAACAAUGUCGAUUCAUGUAUAGAAACAUCAAGAGACGACGAAGAUCCAUGAAUGAUUUUGUUAGAAUUUACGGGAGAUUAGAUUAUUUGAGUUUAAAGAGAUAUUGUAAUUCAGGGAGAGAGGAUAAGGUUUUUUUAGACCAUCUACAAUGGUGAAGUCUUAACCAUUUAAGCCCCAAUACCUAUUAGGUACCCCCAUUGUGGAAAAAAUAUUUGGGGGUCUCUUAAGACCCGGGGUCUCACUUAAGACCUUCAUUCUUAAGUGGAUCUCACACAACUUUUUAAUAAACUAAUCAUUGUUUAGUUACAAAUGUAAAUGAUAAAGAGUUAUUGGUGGGUCCCAUUUAGACCUUUUGUUAGAGGGUCUCUAUUGAAGUAGUUGAGUACCUAUUAGGUACUAUCAUUAAAAAAUUAUAAAAAAGUGAUGUGUCAAUGUGGGACCCAUUUAAGACCUCUAGAUUGAGGGUCUCCAUUGUGGAUGCUCUUCUCUUAGUCUUGAACCAUUAAGGGCCUUUUGGUCCAUACAUGCCAUAUUUCAAUGAGUCAACAUUGUAAUCAUCAUGAUCACCACAUUGCCCAUUUUUUUGUUGACGUUAAUAAUAUUUGUCGUUAAAAAAAAAAAACCGCAUAAGAAAAAAAAAACAUGGCAUCAAUGUUUGUUUAAAAAGAUCAGCUUUGCUAAAAAAAAAGAUCAACAAUUGCAUGAAGCAAAACUCAAUUGUCAUAAGACUGGUGCUAGUUACACCCCAAAAAAAACUAGUUACACCCAAAUUUAUUUAAAAUUUUACAAUAAUACCAAAAUUGCCCUCUUCAUGUAAAUUUUUAAAAACCCAUCUUUUAUGAUCGUUCUGAACCCUUACCCCCUUUCAUCCACAAAUCACCAUAGAUGUGCAACCAAUAUCUGAAUCAACAUCUUUGUUAUUGAUCUGUAUUGUUAUACCCUGUUUUUUGACCUAAAAAUACUGGGCCCAAUUUCAUUUCAAACUUUGUCAAUUAUCAAAUUUCAACUGCACAGUUCAAAUUGUCUCUGCCUCGCAGUAUUUUCAAUCACAAUUUUACUUAUGUUUUCCUUGCAUAAAACUUUUCAAAAUGUCUUUACUUGUCUUGUAAGUCAUUCAAAAGUGUCUCUGGAUCGUUACAUUGCUUUUUCUACAGUUUAUUUCAAAAUUUGCAAAAAGUCAUACAGAAGGGUAUUUUGGUCAUUUCCUGCAGUGGGACCCAUUUUCAUCCUUGUGACUGUCUCCGAGUCUUUUCAGUUUGUUUUUAAACAUUUCAUCAGUAAGCCUUAUCAAAUUCAUUUCAAACUUGCAUCCGAGUCAGCGUCAAGUCAAUUUGAGUCUGUUUAGGUCAAUUUUAGCCCUAGGGGCAUUUUGGUCAUUUCACACAAAAUUUUGGCAUAGAGAGGUUACUUUGAAGUACCUCAUUUAGGCCAUUGGUUCGUUUUAGUCCGUUUUGUCAAUUUUAUUUGUGUUUCGCUUUACGUUUGGUCAAAUUACCAAUUUUAUUUUUAUUUUUAUUGUUUUUAUUAUUUUUGCAUUUUUGGUCCUCGAAGAGGUCCAAAAUUGCAUUUCAGUCCAGUUUCUUUUCCAAUUUUCAUUUCAGUCCUUUUUGUCAAUUGCAGUUUAGUCCUCAAGUUCUUAUUUUUGCAGAAAGGUCCAAAGUUCAUUUUUUAAGUCCAAAGCCGUGCCUCUUUCAUACAAGUUCAGAUGCCACAUGUCAGUUUCCUAUUGGUUCCAAUGCACACAUGUCAGCUAUAAAAGCAUUAAGUCAGAUUUCAGAAGCAAUGAUUACACGCCACAUCACAAACACUUUCCAAUUUUCUUUCCCAUUCUCAAAGAUCAAAAACUUAACAAUUUUCCAGAAUCAUCAAGAACAUUCAAACCCUAACCGUUUCUGAACCAACUCCAAAUCAAUCCAAAUCAACUCAAAUCAACAGAAAUCAACACAGAAUAUUACAAAUCAGUACAGAAUCAACAAGAUUUCUUGCAAUUCUCAGAGAUUUCGCAUCGAAUCUUCAUCAUCGAAUUGAGUUUCUUCGCAAUCCAAGGUGAGAAUUCGCCAUUGACGAACUCCAGCACCGAUCACGAAGAAUUCGAGAGCGUGAAAAGAAGAAGGAAAGAAGCAGAAUCUGGACCGGUGAAGAAGAAGAAGAAUCACUGAUUUAUUUUCAGUUUCAAAACCGGAAAUCAAUAAGCAAAAGCCAAAUCCAAGCGUUUCCGAAGAAACUCAACAGAAUCUCCAUAAAAAAAAACUCAGGUAAAACUCAGAACCUCUUUUCAACAAAUGAAAUCAUAGUUUAAACCUGUAAAAAUCACGCAAGCAAACGGAUCUAAAAAUUUCCAGAAUUCAAAGAUAAAACCGUAACCGUAAACACAAAACCUAGAUCCAUAAGGAUCUAAGUUUUGAAAGCAAGAACAAACAUCAAAGGAGUAAUACACAACGAAACGAUGUAGAUCUUCAAGGAUCUAAACGUUUUAUUUCAAAAAGAUCAAAAUCAAUUUCAAAGCCGUACGACAAAUUUCCAGAUCUACAUCGUUUCAAACUGAAUUUAAAAAAAUGACUGCUGGAUUCGUGUUUAGGGUUAAAGGACGGAUCAUUUGAUAUAGAAAUCUUUAAGUUCUGGAAAUUUUUCACCGGAAACUGCUUGAACUCGCCGGAGAAGAUGAAGUUUCCGGCGGACCUUCAAGGUCUCCGCCGUAGCUUCAUCCUCGCCGGCGGCGAGGUUAGAGAGAGAGUUGGGAGAUGAGAGAAGAGAGAAGAACUUAGAGAGAGAAAGGAAAGUGGAAAAUGAUUUAAACCGGUCCCCCUUCACUUUUAUAGCCAGUGAACCGGACCGGUCCAGAACCGGUCCAUUCCCCUUUGAUCCCUGGCCGUUUGAUCUAGGGUUCCAGGAUCCUGGAUCAAUCGUGUGGCUCUUGUGCAUCCGGACCUUGUAGGAUUGGGCUUUGGUUUGGGCUUAUUUUUCCUUUACGUUUUUUUGUUUUUUUGCUAUUUGCACUGCCUUUCUUGCUAUCUGAACCUGCUACUUGCCUACUCUUUUUUAUAAAUUUCCUAGAAAAUCCAUGCUUACUUCUUGAUAUUUUCUUGAUGUUUUAUGGUAUUUUUGCAUAUUGGAAUUGGCAAAAUUCUUGUAUGAUUAAUCCAUGGCAUUUUAAUUCUUUCUUGGAUUAUUUCUUAUGAUUGUUUUUUGUCAAUUUUAUCAUUGAUUUGUGAAUAUGUGAUAAAGGCCAUUUGAUAUGUUAAUGUGAGGUGCUCAUGCCUACAAUCCUAUGUUGAUUUUGCUGUUUUAGAUUGAUUCAUGAAACCUUGAUUGUAUGAGCAAUGCAUGCAUAUUCUAGAAAAUAAUAAAAUGCUAAUUCUAUCUCAAAAUUGGUAUGAAACUAAGCUUGCUUGUUUCUAAUGAUCAUAUGAUUAUAGCUUGAGAUAAAAGAAACUAUUUCAAACUUGCUAUAGCAUGAGAAUUAGAAGCUACAAAUGCCUUAGGUUUCAUAUCAAAAUUUUAGGGUUUAUUAUCAUUUUAUUACUAUCUUUGUGGCAUUUUAUGCGUUUUUGCCUCUUGCUACUCUUUAUGCUUUAUUUCACUAACAAGUUUAUUUCCAUGUUUCAUGCAUCUCAUUUAGCAUUCCCUCCACUUUCUUUAGCUUAGCAUUUAUUUUUGCAAGUUUUAGUUCAUUUAGUGGUGUAAUUUGUCAUCAUUGGUUUGUAGCUUGGCAAAGGGGCCAUAGAAUGUAUUUAGGCAAUUUUUGUAAUAUGGACUAUGGACACUAUGACGCACCGGCACGCACACACUCACUCUAGAUGUAUGCAUAGGAUUGAAUGGUUAGAUGAAUGCUUAGGUUUAGACACUUAGAUAAAAUCCAACUUUUUUCCAAAAAACAUGCAAAUAAUCUCACUUGAAAAUCUUUUUUUUGAAAAUAAAAUAGGAGUCAAAACUCCUUAUUUCCCUUUAUUUUCUUAAAUAAAAUUUUCAAUAAAUCUUAAUCCUCCUUGGACUCUACUUUUGCAAAAUGACUAAUUCCACCUCACACUUUCUAAAUCUUAUGCCCUUGAGGCCUCUCAUCUCCUUUCUUCAAAAUCUCUUUUCAAACUUAAAAUCAACCAACAAAAACAAAAACCAUUUUUGAGAAUGAACUACGAACGGUUUUGAUCCCUUAAAAGGGUACGUAGGCAAUGAGUCAAAACUCAUCCAAGCCGAAAUAAAAAUCAAAUUCUACUUCUUCUCACCCCCCAUUCUUGACUAAUCACACCUUCCCUUUUUUACAAAUAAGCAAUAAAACUGAAGCGUAGAAAUGAACUUAGGAGAGCGGUUCUUAUGGAAUACCAUAAUCGCUCCGGGUGCCUAACACCUUCCCGUAGCGAAAACGACCCCCGAAUCUAGAAACUUUUUAAGGGUUUUUCUCCUUUUACCCUUCCCAAGAAAAAAGAGAGACAUCAACGGUCGAAAGGUUCAAGCCUAAUUUAUGACUUGACACCCGAAAAUCGCGAUAACAGAAAUGGCGACUUCACUGGGGAUUCUUUUAGCGGGUCGCGCCUAGUUUUCCUUAGUUUAUAUUUACGCUUUGUUUUAUUGCUUACAUAUGUGAAUACUUGUUUACUUUCAUUUAACGUGUGGGGUGAGAAUAUCAAAAGUCCUAACCCGGGCUGAGUGAACUUAUGUUUAGGUAGAGAUAUAAUCGACAAUUCGAUCCGGGGGUUGCCUCGUGUAUUGGAUUAUGUUCUCACAUAGCUGAGGCAUUUUGAAGGUGAUAUUGUCGGCGUGUGUUGUCAUGCUUAGGCACUUCACUUUCAAUUGUUCGACGAAGCUAUGAACCGUAGUUACCAAACCCAUCCUAGCCUUUUUAGGACGUAGUGCGGUGGCUAAAUUGAGUGUUGUCUCAAACUUUAGUCGUCACGCGAUACUACACUCAAACUAGACCUUCUCACAAAUAAUCAUGGAACGGGUGUCGUCCUGUACUACCAUGAUAUAUGUGAGAGAGGUUGCAGUUUGGGAACUGUGUUAGAACCUUGGUUACUACUAUCCAAAGCCUUAGUUCACCGGACGCCGUGUCCAUCCGUGGCCCUGCUACUUUGAAUCUCAACCCACCUUGUUCUUUGUAACUAAACAACACAAUCAUGCAUACAUGCAUUCAUGCAUAAACUUUUUUCAUGCAUUCAUCGAAGGGUUUAAACAAAUGGAAAUUUUUUGUAAAUAAUCACAGGUAUGAAGAAGACUAAGUGCUACAAGUUCAAGGAGGUGGAUUUGGUUAGUUUGAGAGAGUUGGCACUCAAGGUCAAGAGUCAAAUAGGGUUCCGACUCCGGUAUGGGGGAUUGCUUACUUUGCUCCGAACCGAUGUGGACGAGAAGCUAGUGCACACUCUAGUGCAAUUUUAUGAUCCAAGCUUCCGUUGCUUCACUUUCCCGGACUUCCAGUUGGUUCCUACUCUCGAGGCUUACUCCAAUCUAGUGGGUUUACCUAUAGCCGAGAAGACGCCUUUCACCGGUCCCGGGACUUCUCUUACUCCUCUGGUUAUUGCUAAGGAUCUCUACCUCAAGACUUCCGACGUCUCCAACCAUCUUAUUACCAAGUCUCACAUCCGGGGGUUCGCUUCGAAGUAUCUUCUUGAGCAAGCUAAUCUCAGUACUACUCGUCAGGAUACACUCGAGGCUAUCCUUGCUUUGCUUAUCUACGGGCUCAUUCUCUUUCCGAACCUCGACAACUUCGUGGACAUGAAUGCUAUCGAGGUCUUCCAUUCCAAGAACCAGGUUCCUACUUUGCUAGCAGAUACCUACCACGCCAUUCAUGACAGGACUCUCAAGGGCCGUGGGUAUAUUCUUUGCUGCAUACCUCUUUUGUAUAGGUGGUUUAUUUCGCACCUUCCGAGUUCCUUCCAUGAUAACUCGGAAAAUUGGUCCUACUCUCAGCAGAUUAUGGCUCUCACUCCUAAUGAGGUGGUCUGGAUCACCCCCGCCGCUCAAGCCAAGGAAAUUAUCAUGGGUUGUGGAGACUUUCUCAACGUACCUCUUCUUGGUACUCGUGGAGGAAUUAACUACAACCCCGAGCUUGCUAUGAGACAGUUUGGUUUCCCUAUGAAGUCGAAGCCCAUCAAUCUUGCUACAUCUCCAGAGUUCUUCUUCUACACGAAUGCCCCUACAGGACAAAGGAAAGCUUUCAUGGAUGCUUGGUCCAAGGUUCGAAGGAAGAGUGUGAAGCAUCUAGGUGUGAGAUCCGGUGUUGCUCAUGAGGCUUAUACUCAGUGGCUGAUAGAUCGAGCUGAGGAGAUUGGUAUGCCUUAUCCAGCUAUGAGAUACGUGUCUUCAUCCACUCCAUCUAUGCCUCUACCUCUACUCCCCACGACUCAGGAUAUGUAUCAGGAGCAUCUAGCUAUGGAGAGUCGUGAGAAACAAGUGUGGAAAGCUCGGUACAAUCAAGCCGAGAAUCUAAUCAUGACUUUGGAUGGUAGAGAUGAGCAGAAGACUCAUGAGAACCUGAUGUUGAAGAAAGAAUUAGCUAAGGCCCGGAGGGAAUUGGAAGAGAAAGACGAGCUGCUUAUGAGGGAUUCCAAGAGAGCCAGAGGACGACGAGACUUCUUUGCCAGAUACUGUGAUUCAGAUUCCGAGUCCGAUGAUCCUCCGACUACUUCCUAUGCUUGAGGGCUUCAUUUGUUUAUCUUGUUGAAAUUUCAAAGUCUUCCUUUUGAAAAUGCUAUGUCGUUUUGAUUAUUUGCAAGAUUUCUAUUUUGUUUAAAAAUCCUUCGAUGAAAAAAUAAGUCUUUCGCAUUUGCAUUCGCAUAUCAUGCAUCAUAUGCAUCAUACAUUGGUCACAAAGGCUUCCAAGUGCUCACUAUCUCCUGGUUUCUCUACCUCAGUGUGAAAAGUGGCUCGUGCUCAGAGGAUUUACGAACCUGAUAGAACCGAUCGAACCAGAGAAUACAGAAGGAAGAAAAGGGCUAUGGAAGAAGAGAACACACAACUCCGUACCGAAUUGGCAUCUUUAAAGGAGGAAUUGGCCAAAGCUCAUGAUGCUAUGACUGCUCUGUUGGCUGCUCAGGAACAACCAGUUCCCGUAGUUUCUACAGCUGCAAAUGUGACUCCUACAGUAACAACUGAUCCCCGCUUUAUCAUGCCAUCCGGGUAUCCUUACGGACUUCCGCUGUACUAUACUGCUAAUACGGGGGCAGGGACCUCUGGUACUACCAACAGUGGCCCAAUCUCAGGGGCAAACUUAACUCCUGUUAGUACCGCCUUGACUCAAGCUGCAACAACUGUUACCGAGCCCAUUGUGAAUACGGUGCCUCUAUUUGUCCAUGCUAAUGCGCACCACGGGAGUAUUGCCACAACCGGAACUAUGGAAGAGAGAAUGGCAGAACUUGCCGAAGAGCUCCGACGGGAAAUUAAGGCCAACAGGGGAAAUGGAGACUCCAUUAAAACCCAGGAUCUCUGCUUAGUAUCGAAAGUGGAUGUUCCUAAAAAGUUCAAAGUCCCGGAGUUCGACAAGUAUAACGGGCUGACUUGUCCUCAAAAUCAUAUUGUCAAAUAUGUCCGGAAGAUGGGCAACUACAAGGACAAUGAUUCCCUUAUGAUCCAUUACUUCCAAGACAGUCUGAUGGAAGACGCUGCGGAGUGGUAUACUAGUCUGAGCAAAGAUGAUGUCCAUACUUUUGAUGAGCUAGCCACUGCUUUCAAGAGCCACUACGGGUUUAACACUCGAUUGAAGCCGAAUAGGGAGUUUCUCAGGUCCCUAUCUCAGAAAAAGGAGGAAAGUUUCCGGGAAUAUGCGCAAAGGUGGAGAGGGGCAGCUGCCCGUAUCACUCCUGCCUUAGAUGAAGAAGAAAUGACCCAGACAUUCUUAAAGACCUUGAAGAAAGAUUAUGUUGAGAGGAUGAUCAUCGCUGCCCCGAACAACUUUUCGGAGAUGGUCACUAUGGGAACCCGUCUUGAGGAAGCCGUCAGGGAUGGAAUCAUUGUGUUUGAGAAAGCUGAAUCCUCUGUGAAUGCGUCGAAGAGAUAUGGUAAUGGACACCACAAGAAGAAAGAAACGGAAGUGGGAAUGGUGUCAGCUGGAGCCGGUCAAUCAAUAGCUACCGUUGCUCCUAUCAAUGCAGCUCAAAUGCCUCCGUCAUACCCAUAUAUGCCGUACUCUCAGCAUCCGUUCUUCCCACCGUUUUACCAUCAGUACCCCCCGCCACCGGGUCAACCUCAAGUGCCCGUCAAUGCAAUUGCCCAACAGAUGAAACAACAGUUGCCGGUUCAACAACAACAACAACAACAACAGCAGCAGCAAUAUACCAGACCAACUUUUCCUCCUAUACCAAUGUUGUAUGCAGAACUUCUUCCAACUUUACUCCAAAGAGGACACUGCACGACUAGACAGGGUAAGCCCCCACCUGAUCCGUUGCCUCCAAGGUUCAGGUCUGAUCUCAAAUGUGAUUUUCAUCAAGGUGCCUUAGGUCAUGAUGUCGAGGGGUGUUAUGCUUUGAAGUAUAUCGUGAAGAAGCUCAUUGAUCAAGGAAAGCUGACUUUUGAGAAUAAUGUCCCACACGUCCUCGACAAUCCUCUCCCAAAUCAUGCCGCUGUGAAUAUGAUCGAAGUGUGUGAGGAAGCUCCUAGACUUGAUGUCCGCAACGUCGCAACUCCUCUGGUACCUCUACACAUCAAGCUGUGCAAAGCUUCUCUGUUCAGCCAUGAUCAUGCCAAGUGUCUAGGAUGCCUCCGUAAUCCUUUGGGUUGCCAUACUGUUCAAGACGACAUCCAAAGCUUGAUGAAUGAUAAUCUUCUGACUGUCAGUGAUGUUUGCGUGAUUGUGCCAGUUUUUCACGAUCCGCCUGUCAAGAGUGUACCUUUGAAGAAGAAUGCUGAGCCUUUGGUGAUAAGGUUGCCAGGACCAAUUCCUUAUGUUUCGGACAAGGCAGUCCCAUACAAAUACAAUGCUACUAUGGUAGAAAAUGGAGUAGAGGUGCCUCUAGCUUCCUUUGCCACAGUAAGCAAUAUUGCCGAAGGGACUUCUGCAGCGCUGAGAAGCGGGAAAGUCCGUCCGCCGUUAUUUCAGAAGAAGGUAGCUACGCCAAUCACUCCACCAGUUGAAGAAGCAACUCCAACCGUUGUUUCGCCCAUUGCUACAGAUGUGAACCAGUCCGGCAAAUCUAUAGAGGAUUCGAACUUAGAUGAGAUUCUGAGGAUAAUAAAGAGGAGCGACUACAAGAUUGUUGAUCAAUUGCUGCAGACUCCUUCGAAGAUAUCUGUCUUGUCAUUACUCUUGAGUUCCGAGGCUCACAGGAAUACCUUGUUGAAAGUGCUGGAGCAGGCUUAUGUUGACCACGAAGUUACGGUAGAUCGUUUCGGUGGCAUAGUGGGAAAUAUUACUGCUUGCAACAACCUCUGGUUUAGUGAAGAAGAGUUGCCGGAAGUGGGAAAGAGUCACAAUCUGGCUUUGCACAUCUCGGUGAAUUGUAAAUCAGACAUGAUAUCAAAUGUGUUGGUGGAUACCGGUUCCUCACUCAAUGUAAUGCCCAAGAUAACUCUAGAUCAGCUGAGCUACCGAGGAACCCCUUUGAGGAGGAGUACUUUCUUGGUCAAAGCUUUUGACGGAUCUCGAAAGAAUGUGCUGGGGGAAAUAGACUUGCCAAUAACCAUUGGCCCUGAGAAUUUCUUGGUUACUUUCCAAGUGAUGGACAUUAAUGCAUCCUACAGUUGUCUGCUGGGAAGACCGUGGAUACACGAUGCGGGUGCGGUUACUUCCACCUUACAUCAGAAGUUGAAGUUUGUGAAGAAUGGAAAACUCGUCACAAUCCAUGGUGAAGAAGCAUACUUAGUCAGCCAGCUGUCUUCCUUUUCUUGUAUUGAAGCAGGGUCUGCUGAAGGGACUGCUUUCCAAGGUUUGACCAUUGAAGGUGCAGAGCCUAAGAAAGCUGGGACUGCUAUGGCUUCUUUGAAGGAUGCACAGAGAGCCGUCCAAGAGGGUCAAGCUGCCGGUUGGGGCAAGGUGAUACAGCUCUAUGAGAACAAGCGUAAAGAAGGUCUCGGGUUCUCCCCGUCAUCAAGGGUUUCCUCGGGAGUCUUCCACAGUGCUGGGUUUGUUAAUGCUAUCUCUGAAGAAGCCACUGGAUCUGGUCUCAGGCCUGUAUUUGUUACACCAGGAGGCAUUGCAACAGAUUGGGAUGCCAUUGACAUUCCUUCAAUCAUGCAUGUUUCUGAGUAAUGUGUCUUGUUGCUUUAAUGCUUUGUUUUCAAAAUAACAAUCCUCUCGCUCUGCCCAAAGCGAGAGUGAUAUUUUCUGUAAGGGCAUGUUUGUUUCGGCAUUGCCGUUGAUUAAUAAAAUUUUGUCGUUUCUUCCACGACUACUUUUUUUAAGUGCUUUUUCCCUUGGAAACAAUGGUAAUGCCAGAAAAAAACCAAAACGUUUGUAUUUUCUUAUUAAUUUCAAAAAUCCGCAUGAAAAAAAAAACUCUUUCUAAAAUCAUCCAAUCAUUAUAUGCAGGUUGAACCAUAAUAAACCCGUUGAACACAGUAAUCCUACGGUUCCUCCAAGUUUUGAUUUCCCUGUGUAUGAAGCCGAAGAUGAGGAAGGUGAUGACAUACCAUAUGAGAUCACUCGGUUACUUGAGCAAGAAAAGAAAGCCAUUCAGCCUCACCAGGAAGAGAUUGAGCUUAUCAACAUAGGUACCGAGGAGAACAAGCGAGAAAUCAAGAUCGGUGCUGCUCUAGAGGAAGGGGUUAAAAAGAAGAUCAUCCAACUCCUCCGGGAAUAUCCGGAUAUUUUUGCAUGGUCGUAUGAAGAUAUGCCAGGUCUAGAUCCUAUGAUUGUGGAGCAUCGGAUCCCCACCAAGCCUGAAUGUCCUCCCGUCAGGCAGAAAUUGAGAAGGACUCAUCCAGAUAUGGCUCUCAAGAUUAAGAGCGAGGUUCAAAAACAGAUUGAUGCGGGUUUCCUCAUGACAGUUGAGUACCCUGAAUGGGUUGCCAAUAUUGUACCUGUGCCAAAGAAGGAUGGUAAAGUCCGGAUGUGUGUUGACUUCAGAGACCUGAAUAAAGCCAGUCCAAAAGACAACUUUCCAUUACCUCAUAUUGAUGUGCUUGUUGAUAAUACUGCUCAGUCUAAGGUGUUCUCCUUCAUGGACGGUUUCUCCGGUUAUAAUCAGAUCAAAAUGUCUCCUGAAGAUAGAGAAAAGACAUCUUUUAUCACUCCAUGGGGUACCUUCUGCUACAAAGUGAUGCCAUUCGGUCUAAUUAAUGUUGGUGCUACCUACCAAAGGGGAAUGACUACUCUGUUUCAUGACAUGAUUCACAAAGAAGUCGAAGUAUAUGUGGAUGACAUGAUUGUGAAGUCAACAGAUGAGGAGCAACAUGUUGAAUAUUUAACGAAGAUGUUUGAAAGGUUGAGAAAAUACAAGCUUCGACUGAAUCCCAACAAAUGUACAUUCGGCGUCAGAUCCGGGAAGUUAUUAGGCUUCGUUGUCAGCCAAAAGGGCAUUGAAGUCGAUCCUGAUAAAGUCCGGGCCAUCCGAGAAAUGCCAGCUCCACAGACAGAGAAACAAGUCAUAGGUUUCCUCGGGCGUUUGAAUUACAUCUCCCGAUUCAUAUCUCAUAUGACCGCAACCUGCGGGCCGAUCUUCAAGCUGCUUAGAAAGAACCAGCCUGUUGUAUGGAAUAAUGAAUGCCAAGAAGCUUUUGAUAGCAUCAAGAAUUACCUGCUGGAACCACCUAUCCUUGUCCCACCCGUGGAAGGAAGGCCGUUGAUCAUGUAUUUGGCAGUAUUUGAUGAAUCCAUGGGAUGCGUGCUUGGUCAACAAGAUGAAACUGGAAAGAAAGAGCAUGCUAUCUACUAUCUAAGCAAGAAGUUCACCGACUGCGAAACUCGGUAUACAAUGCUUGAGAAGACUUGUUGUGCUUUGGCCUGGGCCGCUAAACGCCUGCGUCAUUAUUUGGUGAACCAUACAACUUGGCUGAUAUCCAGAAUGGAUCCGAUAAAGUAUAUCUUUGAGAAAGCGGCCGUUACUGGAAAGAUUGCGCGCUGGCAGAUGCUUUUGUCUGAAUAUGAUAUUGUGUUCAAAACUCAAAAGGCAAUCAAAGGUAGCAUUCUUGCCAAUCAUCUUGCUUACCAACCUCUUGAUGAUUAUCAACCAAUUGAGUUCGAUUUCCCCGAUGAAGAGAUCAUGUAUUUGAAAUCAAAAGACUGCGAAGAACCGUUGAUUGAUGAAGGUCCAGAUCCCAAUAGCAAGUGGGGUUUAGUCUUUGAUGGUGCUGUCAAUGCUUAUGGUAAAGGAAUUGGGGCAGUCAUUGUAUCCCCACAGGGGCAUCACAUUCCUUUUACCGCCAGAAUCCUGUUCGAAUGUACCAACAAUAUGGCUGAGUAUGAAGCAUGUAUCUUCGGGAUCGAGGAAGCAAUUGACAUGAGAAUCAAACACCUCGACAUCUAUGGAGAUUCUGCGCUCGUCAUCAAUCAGAUAAAGGGUGAAUGGGAGACCCACCAUGCUAAGUUGAUUCCUUAUCGUGAUUAUGCGAGACGUUUGCUGACAUAUUUCACAAAGGUUGAGCUGCACCAUAUUCCUCGUGAUGAGAACCAAAUGGCUGAUGCUCUUGCUACUCUAUCCUCCAUGUUUCGAGUAAACCAUUGGAAUGAUGUGCCAGUAAUCAAAGUGCAGCGCCUUGAAAGACCUUCGCAUGUGUUUGCUAUUGGGGAUGUGAUCGAUCAGGCUGGUGAAAAUGUGGUUGACUAUAAACCCUGGUACUAUGACAUCAAACAGUUCUUGCUAAGCCGUGAGUAUCCGCCGGGUACUUCCAAACAAGAUAAGAAGACCCUGAGAAGAUUGGCCAGUAGAUUCCUGUUAGAUGGAGAUAUUCUGUACAAGAGAAACUAUGACAUGGUAUUGCUAAGAUGUGUUGAUGAACAUGAAGCGGAGCAGUUAAUGCAUGAUGUACAUGACGGCACCUUCGGGACCCAUGCUACAGGGCAUACUAUGUCAAGGAAGUUGUUACGAGCAGGUUACUACUGGAUGGCCAUGGAGCAUGAUUGCUACCAGUACGCCAGAAAGUGCCACAAAUGUCAAAUCUAUGCUGAUAAGAUUCAUGUGCCUCCGCACGCUCUCAAUGUUAUUUCAUCCCCAUGGCCGUUCUCAAUGCGGGGCAUCGACAUGAUUGGAAGAAUUGAACCGAAGGCUUCAAAUGGUCAUCGUUUCAUCUUAGUGGCAAUUGACUACUUCACCAAGUGGGUUGAAGCAGCAUCUUAUACCAAUGUGACCAAGCAAGUGGUAGCUAAGUUUAUCAAGAACAACAUCAUCUGUCGAUAUGGUGUUCCCAGCAAGAUUAUUACUGACAAUGGUACCAACCUGAACAACAAUGUGGUGCAAGCUCUUUGUGAAGAAUUCAAAAUUGAGCAUCAUAACUCUUCUCCCUAUAGACCUCAGAUGAAUGGUGCAGUUGAGGCCGCCAACAAGAAUAUCAAGAGAAUUGUCCAGAAGAUGGUAACCACUUACAAGGACUGGCAUGAGAUGUUACCCUAUGCUCUGCAUGGCUACCGUACUACUGUGCGCAGUUCAACAGGGGCAACCCCUUUCUCUCUUGUAUAUGGUAUGGAAGCAGUUCUUCCUUUGGAAGUGGAGAUCCCGUCUCUCCGUGUGAUCAUGGAAGCAAAGUUAUCAGAGGCUGAAUGGUGCCAAAGCCGAUAUGAUCAGUUGAAUUUGAUUGAGGAAAAACGUAUGGAUGCCAUGGCUCGUGGACAGUCAUAUCAAGCAAGAAUGAAGACUGCCUUUGACAAGAAAGUCCAUCCUCGAGAAUUCAAGGUAGGGGAACUUGUAUUGAAAAGGAGGGUAAGCCAGCAACCCGACCCAAGGGGCAAGUGGACGCCUAACUAUGAAGGUCCUUAUGUUGUCAAGAAGGCCUUCUCCGGUGGUGCUUUAAUCCUUACACACAUGGAUGGUGUAGAACUUCCAAAUCCAGUGAAUGCCGAUAUAGUCAAGAAAUACUUUGCCUAGAAAUAUGAAAAGAACAGCGUGGUAGGUCGAAAACCCGAAAGGGCGGCCUAGGCAAAAAUGCGCUUCCCGGUGGAUCGAAAACCCGAAAGGGCGGUCCAGGCAAAAAUAAGGGACAAAAAAAAAACAAAUAUGAAAAGCUCGCUGAGAUUGUAAACAACUCAGGCAAGAAUGAGCGUCUCGAUGAGCCGAAAACCCGGAAGGGCGGUUCAUGCAAGAAUGAGAUUGAAACAAAAGGCAAGUAACUAUAUCUGGCUAACCACCGUCCCCCUUGGGGCAUCUGCAGCUGUUAAUGACUAUCUUCAUCAAAAGUUCCUACGCUUGCGAAUUCAAAGUUUCCAGGAAAUGUAAUGAUUGAUGUGUUCAAUGUACCACCAACCAAUAAAAUUACCAUUUUCCAAGCUUUGUAAAUCCAUGGAGUCACGCCCUCGGCUGACCACCACUCUCAUACAUCAAUUUGAGCUUGUGCUUUUGUUUGAAACUCUAUUUUUCUUCUACUUUCAAAGCUAUAUACAAAACAUUUUCUUUCUAUUUUGAUAAUGACAAUGCUUGAAACAAACAUUUUUUUUUAAAAAUUGAAAACUUUCUGUCUAUUUUGAAAAGCAAACCUGAGCAACAGGGUACAUUCAAAUGAAACAUGCAUGAGCGAGAGUAUGUUGAUGUCUAUUUCAAUAUAUGUUACAAGCAGGUUCUCCUCCAGGAUAGUCUGUGGUCAAUGGCAAGAAUGAAAAAACAGAAUGAAAAUGCAUGAAAUUGAAUAGGCUCGCUAAGUUGAAAACCCGAAAGGGCGGCUUAGGCAAAAAUGAGCACCCCGCUGGAUUGACAACCCGAAAGGGCAGUUCAGGCAAAAAUGGGGCAUUGAAAAGAAUUUAUUUCCCCGGUGGAUCGAAAACCCGAAAGGGCGAUCCAGGCAAAAAUGGGAUGCAAAAAAUGAAUGAAUGAAAGUUGAGAAAAUAACAUGCAAAAAGCAUUGACCACAGAUGCGACAUCCACGGUACAUCCGGCAUUAUUUCCAGUAGAGUCUCCCAAGAUUCUAUCCCCAGCAAGUUGCAUAGCUACCGGCCCUCAGCCUAGGUCCCGAAACGUCUCCCAACGACGUCAUCUCCAAAGAGGAUUUCCAAGAAUGUGUAAUAUAGCACGAGCCACUACGUGCCCAAUACUCUGAUGUCUUGUCUUCCCCGUGAAGUCGUGCCUACAAAAUGCCAACAGUCAUGCAUUACAAGCAUUCAUACAUGCAUAAUCAUGCAUAUUACGUGCCCAUGCAUUUAAUGAAACUGUUAUAUCAUCCGUGCAUAUUGCAUUUCCAAUGUCAACAUCAGUCUCAAUUCGAUACUCAUGUCAGGUUCUCUGUCAAAACCUUGUGAGCCAAUAAUAUCGGUCAAUUUCUGCCUUUCAAUUCAAAUCGACGUCAAGUCAAUCUCAAUCUAUAUUUUGUCAAAAAAAAACCAAUCCCCAGUGAAUAUGUUUCUGUUUGGUCAAGUGGCUAGUUCAAGUCCAAGAACAGCUUGUACCUAUCAAUUUGCUUAUGUUAUCGGUCGAGUGCCCAGCUCAAUCCAAGAGCAGCUUGUACCUGUCAAUAUGUUUCCGUUUGGUCAAGUGGCUAGCUCAAUCCAAGAGCAGCUUGUACCUGUCUAUCUGUUUCUGUCCGGUGGAGUAACCAGUUCGCAUCCAAGAACAAGCUCACACCUGUUUAUUUGCCUUUGCUUUCGGUCGAGUGACCAGUUCGAAGCCAAGAACAACUCGUACCUAUCUACUUUUCCAUGACCCCGGUCGAGUUACCAGUUCGAAUCCAAGAACAGCUCGUACCUGUCUAUGUGUCUAUGAUUUUGGGUCAAGUGGCUAGUUCAAGUCCAAGAACAGCUUGUACCCGUCUAUCUGUUUCUGUUCGCUCAAGUGGCUAGCUCGAUCCAAGAGCAGCUUGCGCCUGUCUAUUUUGUCUUUGUCUCCGGUGGAGUAACCAGUUCGCAUCCAAGAACAAGCUCGCACCUGUCUAUUUGCCUUGCUUUCAGUCGAGUAACCAGUUCGAAUCCUUAAGAACAACUCGUACCUGCCAAUUUUACAUGUUUUCAGUCGAGUCACCAGUUCGAAUCCAUAAGAACAACUCGUACUUGUCAAUUUUCUCUUUUUCCAGUCGAGUCACCAGUUCGAAUCCGUAAGAACAACUCGUACUUGCCAAUUUUCUCUUUUUCCCAGUCGAGUCACCAGUUCGAAUCCAUAAGAACAACUCGUACUUGCCAAUUUUCUCUUUUUCCCAGUCGGGUCACCAGUUCGAAUCCAUAAGAACAACUCGCACUUUCCAAUAUCCCCAAGUGAGUUACCAGUUCGAAUCCAUAAGAACAACUCAUGUUUGUCCAGUAACCUCUAUCCCCUGUGAAGUGACCAGUUCGAAUCCAUAAGAACAACUCGCAGUUGUCUGUUUGUUUCAUCCCCGGUCAAGUGGCUAGUUUGAAUCCAAGAACAGCUUGUACCUGUCCAACUUGUUUCUAGUUUCCCGUUACUCUGCUAUUCACUAUCUUUGUCAAUGUCUACCAAUCCCGCAAUGGAUACGACAUAUUUUGUUAAUUCCAAUCCCCAUGAGGUCUUGCAUUCAUAAUCCAAAUGAUGCAUGGCAUGCAUAUUAUUUGAAAAUGGGUAGGCGUAUUUUUACGUCCAAACACAGUGCAAAUGCUAAUAUUUAAGUAUCUUCGUCCUGUCAAGCCAAAGACUCCGUCUCUUGACUCUCCAGACAAAGAAACUUAAAUAGGGGCAGCUGUUAUACCCUGUUUUUGGACCUAAAAAUACUGGGCCCAAUUUCAUUUCAAACUUUGUCAAUUAUCAAAUUUCAACUGCACAGUUCAAAUUGUCUCUGCCUCGCAGUAUUUUCAAUCACAAUUUUACUUAUGUUUUCCUUGCAUAAAACUUUUCAAAAUGUCUUUACUUGUCUUGUAAGUCAUUCAAAAGUGUCUCUGGAUCGUUACAUUGCUUUUUCUACAGUUUAUUUCAAAAUUUGCAAAAAGUCAUACAGAAGGGUAUUUUGGUCAUUUCCUGCAGUGGGACCCAUUUUCAUCCUUGUGACUGUCUCCGAGUCUUUUCAGUUUGUUUUUAAACAUUUCAUCAGUAAGCCUUAUCAAAUUCAUUUCAAACUUGCAUCCGAGUCAGCGUCAAGUCAAUUUGAGUCUGUUUAGGUCAAUUUUAGCCCUAGGGGCAUUUUGGUCAUUUCACACAAAAUUUUGGCAUAGCGAGGUUACUUUGAAGUACCUCAUUUAGGCCAUUGGUUCGUUUUAGUCCGUUUUGUCAAUUUUAUUUGUGUUUCGCUUUACGUUUGGUCAAAUUACCAAUUUUAUUUUUAUUUUUAUUGUUUUUAUUAUUUUUGCAUUUUUGGUCCUCGAAGAGGUCCAAAAUUGCAUUUCAGUCCAGUUUCUUUUCCAAUUUUCAUUUCAGUCCUUUUUGUCAAUUGCAGUUUAGUCCUCAAGUUCUUAUUUUUGCAGAAAGGUCCAAAGUUCAUUUUUUAAGUCCAAAGCCGUGCCUCUUUCAUACAAGUUCAGAUGCCACAUGUCAGUUUCCUAUUGGUUCCAAUGCACACAUGUCAGCUAUAAAAGCAUUAAGUCAGAUUUCAGAAGCAAUGAUUACACGCCACAUCACAAACACUUUCCAAUUUUCUUUCCCAUUCUCAAAGAUCAAAAACUUAACAAUUUUCCAGAAUCAUCAAGAACAUUCAAACCCUAACCGUUUCUGAACCAACUCCAAAUCAAUCCAAAUCAACUCAAAUCAACAGAAAUCAACACAGAAUAUUACAAAUCAGUACAGAAUCAACAAGAUUUCUUGCAAUUCUCAGAGAUUUCGCAUCGAAUCUUCAUCAUCGAAUUGAGUUUCUUCGCAAUCCAAGGUGAGAAUUCGCCAUUGACGAACUCCAGCACCGAUCACGAAGAAUUCGAGAGCGUGAAAAGAAGAAGGAAAGAAGCAGAAUCUGGACCGGUGAAGAAGAAGAAGAAUCACUGAUUUAUUUUCAGUUUCAAAACCGGAAAUCAAUAAGCAAAAGCCAAAUCCAAGCGUUUCCGAAGAAACUCAACAGAAUCUCCAUAAAAAAAAACUCAGGUAAAACUCAGAACCUCUUUUCAACAAAUGAAAUCAUAGUUUAAACCUGUAAAAAUCACGCAAGCAAACGGAUCUAAAAAUUUCCAGAAUUCAAAGAUAAAACCGUAACCGUAAACACAAAACCUAGAUCCAUAAGGAUCUAAGUUUUGAAAGCAAGAACAAACAUCAAAGGAGUAAUACACAACGAAACGAUGUAGAUCUUCAAGGAUCUAAACGUUUUAUUUCAAAAAGAUCAAAAUCAAUUUCAAAGCCGUACGACAAAUUUCCAGAUCUACAUCGUUUCAAACUGAAUUUAAAAAAAUGACUGCUGGAUUCGUGUUUAGGGUUAAAGGACGGAUCAUUUGAUAUAGAAAUCUUUAAGUUCUGGAAAUUUUUCACCGGAAACUGCUUGAACUCGCCGGAGAAGAUGAAGUUUCCGGCGGACCUUCAAGGUCUCCGCCGUAGCUUCAUCCUCGCCGGCGGCGAGGUUAGAGAGAGAGUUGGGAGAUGAGAGAAGAGAGAAGAACUUAGAGAGAGAAAGGAAAGUGGAAAAUGAUUUAAACCGGUCCCCCUUCACUUUUAUAGCCAGUGAACCGGACCGGUCCAGAACCGGUCCAUUCCCCUUUGAUCCCUGGCCGUUUGAUCUAGGGUUCCAGGAUCCUGGAUCAAUCGUGUGGCUCUUGUGCAUCCGGACCUUGUAGGAUUGGGCUUUGGUUUGGGCUUAUUUUUCCUUUACGUUUUUUUGUUUUUUUGCUAUUUGCACUGCCUUUCUUGCUAUCUGAACCUGCUACUUGCCUACUCUUUUUUAUAAAUUUCCUAGAAAAUCCAUGCUUACUUCUUGAUAUUUUCUUGAUGUUUUAUGGUAUUUUUGCAUAUUGGAAUUGGCAAAAUUCUUGUAUGAUUAAUCCAUGGCAUUUUAAUUCUUUCUUGGAUUAUUUCUUAUGAUUGUUUUUUGUCAAUUUUAUCAUUGAUUUGUGAAUAUGUGAUAAAGGCCAUUUGAUAUGUUAAUGUGAGGUGCUCAUGCCUACAAUCCUAUGUUGAUUUUGCUGUUUUAGAUUGAUUCAUGAAACCUUGAUUGUAUGAGCAAUGCAUGCAUAUUCUAGAAAAUAAUAAAAUGCUAAUUCUAUCUCAAAAUUGGUAUGAAACUAAGCUUGCUUGUUUCUAAUGAUCAUAUGAUUAUAGCUUGAGAUAAAAGAAACUAUUUCAAACUUGCUAUAGCAUGAGAAUUAGAAGCUACAAAUGCCUUAGGUUUCAUAUCAAAAUUUUAGGGUUUAUUAUCAUUUUAUUACUAUCUUUGUGGCAUUUUAUGCGUUUUUGCCUCUUGCUACUCUUUAUGCUUUAUUUCACUAACAAGUUUAUUUCCAUGUUUCAUGCAUCUCAUUUAGCAUUCCCUCCACUUUCUUUAGCUUAGCAUUUAUUUUUGCAAGUUUUAGUUCAUUUAGUGGUGUAAUUUGUCAUCAUUGGUUUGUAGCUUGGCAAAGGGGCCAUAGAAUGUAUUUAGGCAAUUUUUGUAAUAUGGACUAUGGACACUAUGACGCACCGGCACGCACACACUCACUCUAGAUGUAUGCAUAGGAUUGAAUGGUUAGAUGAAUGCUUAGGUUUAGACACUUAGAUAAAAUCCAACUUUUUUCCAAAAAACAUGCAAAUAAUCUCACUUGAAAAUCUUUUUUUUGAAAAUAAAAUAGGAGUCAAAACUCCUUAUUUCCCUUUAUUUUCUUAAAUAAAAUUUUCAAUAAAUCUUAAUCCUCCUUGGACUCUACUUUUGCAAAAUGACUAAUUCCACCUCACACUUUCUAAAUCUUAUGCCCUUGAGGCCUCUCAUCUCCUUUCUUCAAAAUCUCUUUUCAAACUUAAAAUCAACCAACAAAAACAAAAACCAUUUUUGAGAAUGAACUACGAACGGUUUUGAUCCCUUAAAAGGGUACGUAGGCAAUGAGUCAAAACUCAUCCAAGCCGAAAUAAAAAUCAAAUUCUACUUCUUCUCACCCCCCAUUCUUGACUAAUCACACCUUCCCUUUUUUACAAAUAAGCAAUAAAACUGAAGCGUAGAAAUGAACUUAGGAGAGCGGUUCUUAUGGAAUACCAUAAUCGCUCCGGGUGCCUAACACCUUCCCGUAGCGAAAACGACCCCCGAAUCUAGAAACUUUUUAAGGGUUUUUCUCCUUUUACCCUUCCCAAGAAAAAAGAGAGACAUCAACGGUCGAAAGGUUCAAGCCUAAUUUAUGACUUGACACCCGAAAAUCGCGAUAACAUGUAUUAUAUUCAUAAAGGUUAGUGAAUUUCAUGAAUUUCAUUUUCAAUGAGUUUCUAUUUGUUUAUUGUUUGUUUUGGUAUGAGAUAUGUUCAAUUUAGGUUAGUGUAAAUUAAGUUUACUUAUGUUCAAUUUAGGUUAAUGUAAAUUUAGUUUACUUAUGUCAAUGUAAAUUAAGUUUACUUAUUAUGUUCAAUCUAGGUUAAUGUAAAUUUAGUUUACUUUACCUUCAAUCUAGGUUAGUGUAAAUUCAGUUUACAUGUAUAUAAGAGGUUAGUGUAAACUCAGUUUACUCAAUCGAGGUUAAUGUAAAUUAAGUUUACUUAUGUUCAAUCUAGGUUAAUGUAAAUUCAGUUUACUUAUGUUCAAUUUAGGUUAAUGUAAAUUUAGUUUACUUAUGUCAAUGUAAAUUAAGUUUACUUAUGUUCAAUUUAAGUUAAUGUAAAUUUAGUUUAGUUAUGUUCAAUCUAGGUUAAUGUAAAUUUAGUUUAAUCAAUCUAGGUUAAUGUAAAUUAAGUUUACUUAUGUUGAGUUAAUGUAAAUUCAGUUUACUUAUUCAAUUUAGAUUAAUGUAAAUUAAGUUUACUUAUGUUCAAUUUAGGGGUAUAUUAGUCAUUCUGAGGUGUAACUUGUUUUUUUUUUUGGGUGUGACUAGCACCAGUCUUAUCAUAAUUUGCAAAUUAAGCGGAAAACAAAAUGAUUUAUUUAAAAAGGAAUAAAAAAAAACAGAGAAGUCACGUGAUAGCACGGUGCUACCACUAGAUUACCAGCAUCUAACGAACACCACUUCUAUCUUCUUCUUAGUCAGAAUAUCACAACAUCAUGUAACAUGAAAGAAUUUUAGUGGUUCACGUUUACAAUUACAACCUCCGAUAAUGGCGUCUAAUCUGCUAACUCUUUCUCUCUCCUCUCCACCUAACUUCCGUUUCAAUUACGCAUUCAAUCUCAACCAUGACCGCCACUUCAUUUCUCUGCUUCCCACUAAACGCCGUCGCAACCGCAACAACCACCGCCGUAAAAUUCUCCGGCCACUUUUAUCCGUAUCAAACACCUUCAGCACCGAAAUUCGUUCACCGGAAUCAGAAUCGGAAUCAUUUCUUCUUCAAGCUCAAACACAGACCAAAGACUCUCCAGUUCUGCUUGACGUCACCGGAAUGAUGUGCGGCGGGUGCGUCUCCCGAGUCAAAACCAUUCUCUCCUCCGACGAUCGAGUUGACUCUGUAGUUGUCAACAUGUUGACUGAAACCGCUGCUGUUAAGCUUAAAAAGCUCGAAGAGGAAUCUACCAGCGUUGCGGAUGGACUUGCUCGGAGAUUGACGGGAUGCGGGUUUCCGACGAAGAGGAGAGAAUCGGGUUUAGGAGUUUCGGAGAAUGUGAGGAAGUGGAAGGAGUUGGUGAAGAAGAAAGAGGAACUUCUUGCUAAGAGUCGUAACCGUGUUGCUUUUGCUUGGACUUUGGUUGCACUGUGCUGUGGUUCGCAUGCUUCACACAUUUUUCAUUCUUUAGGAAUUCACAUUGCUCAUGGUAAUUUUCAACUUCAAAUUUAGGAUGUGUUUGGAUUGAGUUUUUUGAGCUUAUAUAUUUACUGAAGUAAGAACGUAUGAGACAACUUAUGACAUGUUACUUAAGCUUAUUUUCAUAAGCCUUGCAGGAGAGCAGAGAGCUUAUGAAAACAACUUAUAUAAAAAAUUGUUUGACUUUGUUUUAUCUUGUUAUAGAAAUUGUUUAACGCAAAUAAGCGCUUAUGCAUAAGUGUUUAAUUUAGCUGUUUCUCCAAGCAUGAUCUUACCUGAAACACAAGUAAAUACAGCAAGUUCAUUUUGUAACGAAAUUCAGAGACUUGAACAUAACUUGCUUUUCCUUUUGUAGGACCGUUUUGGGAAUUUCUUCAUAAUUCAUAUGUGAAAGGUGGUUUAGCUUUGGGUGCUCUAUUGGGACCAGGAAAAGGUUAGUUUGUUUCUCUCCCUUGUUUAAAUAUACAUCUUUUGAACAACCAUGUUUUAAGUAUUAACUAAUACAUUUUUCUUUUCAGUUAAGGGUUUAUUAAUAUCUUGAUAGAGAAAAUAACAUUUAUUAAUGAUUUUUGUUUAAUAACCGUUUUAAUUACUUCUAUACAAAUGAAAUUUUAUAUAUUAAAAGUUGCUAUUUUUGGUUUUUUAGGGUACUAGUUAGCAAACAAACUCUUUAAAUUCUUAAUGUAUUUAAAAAUUUGAAGACAAUUUUAUUUCAGAUUGUAGUCUUGCCCAUACUGGGAUAUAUUCCUUAAUAAUUUGAAGUUAAUCACAGUGUUACAAUUUUUUAACCGCAAUAAACUGGCGGAAAUGUUGCAGAUUUACUCUUUGAUGGCCUACUUGCUUUUAAGAAAGGAUCGCCAAAUAUGAACUCUCUCGUGGGAUUUGGUUCAAUAGCUGCUUUCAUCAUCAGCUCGGUGAGAUUCUAUGUGGGAUUUGAGUGUUACAAUAAGUUACAAGUCAGUGAAAUUUCGGUUUUAUUUUUUAUUUUUUAUGUGUUGUUAAUUCGAACUUCAUCUGUGUUAUAGAUCUCACUACUUAACCCAGAGCUGGCAUGGGAUGCGUCAUUCUUUGAUGAACCGGUGACUUUCUUUACUUUCAAAUGUCUCAUUAUUUUCCAUUCGAGAAUUUGCUUUUUUAAGUCAAGCAAGAGCAAACUACUACUCAACUUGGCUAGGGAUUUUGCCUGUUUAGAUAUAAUAACCAUUAACUUCACCAUCUUUACUGCCAUUUCAAAUAUUUAUGUUGAUAACAAGCUCCUCAUAUAAGGAUUUUGUCUUUUAGCAUGCAGGUCAUGCUUCUUGGUUUCGUGCUUCUAGGACGUUCUCUAGAAGAAAAGGCAAGGAUUCAGGCAUCUAGUGAUAUGAAUGAACUUCUUGUAAGUAGCAAUGCGGUUCAUCUCUUUCGUUUGAUAAUAUUUCACGAAAUAAGUUUUCAAGAAAAUCGUUGCCUUUUAUGUAUUCUUAGUCCUUCUUAGAACAUUUUUUUAAAUCUUCUUCCAUCUUUUGGCAUCCUUAUUUUAAUCGAAAAGUCUAUUUAUUGAAUAUCAUAAUUGAUCUCUUUUCCUAAAUGUAAAACUUUUUUUUUUUGUAUUUGUGAUCUCUGUAAGAUUAUAUUCCUUAAAAAAUAUCCCUGUGUCGACUUCUAUACCUGAUCAUUUGUGAUCUGGAACCAAUUUUGUGUUUACAAGAACAAAUUGUUGCACAUUUCGUAGGCACAGUUUGAUAGUACAUCAUUAGGCUGGUUGAUGAGACUUGAGUCUUUGGAAGGCUAACUGCUCAAACAAUGUUGGGAUAGACUGUUGUUCUAAUAAGACAUUCCCCUUUGAUGAUUAUACGACCUUUGGAAGCCGCAGCAUAAAUAAGAGAUUGUGAUGGUGUUCCAUUUAAAAAAAAUCAAUCUCAUUUCAACUUUCAUUUCUUCCAUUUUCUGAUAAAUCGUUAUUUCUCAGAAAAACUAGUAACCCAAGAACUGGAAUAUUGGUUAAAGGAAAAAAAAAAGGUUUCUAUGAGUAUUAAGCAUCAUAUUAUGGUUUGAAUUUAAAGACUAGCAGUGUUUUUUGCGGUCAUAUUUUAUAAGUUGGUUUAAUUAUUUUGUCUUACAUGAAUUUGCUGGGGUGAAUGUUUUUCCAGUCGCUAAUAUCUACUCAGUCAAGACUUGUCAUUACAUCAUCAGAAGGUUCCCCAUCUACUGACAGUGUGCUUAGCUCAGACGCAAUUUGUGUGGAAGUUCCAACUGAUGAUAUUCGAGUAGGAGAUUCGGUGUUGGUGUUGCCUGGAGAAACUAUCCCUAUAGAUGUGAGCCUUUCAGACUGUUGGUGAAACUCUGUUUAUGUUAAUUUAUUUAAAGCUAUAUGUGUGGUACCUGAAAUAAGGUUUAAACUUUAAAUGCAUCUGAAGUACCUACAGUGGGCUCAAUCUUCCACCGGUGACCUAUAAUAUUAGCAUUGCCUUAGAAAACAGUAAUGCAAACGUUUAACUUUGAACAUGAGGCAUCCCAUCAUGAUUUAAGAUGGAAUAAAUGAUGAAUCUUGUUGGUUCACACGGUAUUGCUCGCUAACAUUAUAAACAUCUGGACAGGGAAGGGUCAUUGCAGGAAGAAGCGUUGUGGACGAAUCCAUGCUUACAGGAGAAUCACUUCCUGUUUUUAAGGAGGAAGGCCUUACAGUUUCAGCAGGAACUAUAAACUGGGUAUGACUUUGAAAUCAAUAUUGAAUUUUAUGCUGUCUCACUAAAUUUACAGGUGGUGCACAUCUGACAUUUUGAUUUUUGUCCCUUUGACCGGGAAGGCAAUCAUUAAUCUAUUUCAUUUGCCAACAAAUUUCUAUUUCAGGAUGGUCCCUUAAGGAUUGAAUCUUCUUCGACUGGCUCCAACACAAUGAUAUCCAAGAUUGUACGCAUGGUUAGUAUCCCAUCUUCUGUAAUGGCUUAGCAACCAACCGUAAAUUAAGAAGGCUGGCAACAAGAGAAAUAAGGAUGGAACCAAGAAAUCAACUUAUCCCAAGUUAGUUAGGACUUGUUAGUUAAGAGCAGACCUUUAAAGUUAUUAGAGUAGUUAAUUAGUUAGGUUGUUAUAAAUAGAGGCCUGGAGGUAGAUGGAGGCAUGAUGGCCUUUUCGGAAAUAGGUUGCCAUUUACCACCCUUCCAAACUGCAGCAGUGUGAAUACCAAUGGCCACUCAACAAAUAAGUAACAAAAGGAGGUCCUCGAAAUAGAGGUUGGAAGCGCCAAUUCAAAUACACACUUAGUUGGUCAGUCAGUUUAGGGUGGGAGAGACCAGUCUCCAAUUUCCGGGGAAGAAAUCAUUGUAUUUUAAUCUUGCUCCCCCUAACUUCGGAUACCCCUGGUCCAUUGUUAGAGAAGGAUGUUCAAAUAAAUUUCCUAAUUUUCAUUCUGUUGAUCUCUAUGUUCUCAACUAACAUUUUUCAGGAUUGUGAUGAUUAUGUUGAUAUUUUGAGACAUGAAAAUCAAACAUUUGUAAAGUUUCUACAAUAUUACAGCAUUAUCUGGUGAAAUAUAGGUCGAGGAUGCUCAAUCGCGUGAAGCACCUGUACAAAGGCUUGCAGAUUCAAUAGCAGGGCCAUUUGUAUUUAGCAUAAUGGCUCUGUCAGCAGCAACAUUUGCAUUUUGGUAAGCACUUAUAUUUACAUACAAAUUGUUUUAGCUGAUCUGGUUAUGAUUUUUUAAAGUUGGUCCCAAAUGCUGUUGUUUAUUUGAUAUACCCCUAGCUAAUACUAAUUUACUAUGACAUUAUUGAUGUAAUCCAACUUACGUAGCCCCGCCACUUGAAAUGACAAUUAGCUGUGUCCCAUGCCUAUGUUAGUGGCCAAGCUUCUUAGAUUCUUGCUGGAAUUUAUGAUUAUAAUUUUCCCAAGUAGAAAAGUAGAAGAUUUACUUGGAAGAAAAAGGAUGAAAUCUGAUUAUUAUUUCUAAUUAUUGAAGAAGUACAAAUAACAGUUACAAUUUUGAGGACGAUAAAUUUUAUUAACUAUUCGAGAAUUAUGUAAAUAAAAUCUGUCUUAAAACCAUAAAAUUAAGAAACACAGUUUUGUACAUAUAACAAGGAAAUAAAGAAACGGUACAAAUUAAUGAGUGAAAACCCUGGAAAGAAAAUCAGGUAAUAAUACAAUAUUUUUCCUCUAGUUGGUCGAUGGAUAUCUUUCAUUCCCAUCUUACAAAUAAGAUCUCAAAGUUGUUUUUAGGGAAGACCCUUAGUUAAAUACAUCUGCCAACUGACAUAUACAAGAACAUUUUCCAGGUUGCUAUCAAAGCACUUGGAGGAAUUAGGUGUUCAUUGACAAUAUUAAUUAUUAUAGUUGAAUUAUAAAAUAUGCUGCAAAACCAAAAAAUUAAAAUAAGGAAAUAUGGAAACUGUACAAAUCAAUGAAAGAAAAUCAAGUAAUAAAGCAGGCAUCAUGGAUGGUUCAUCUUACCUAUUAACGUUAACAAACUUAUUAUUGCAUUCGUCUCUAGGUAUUUUGCUGGAACACACAUAUUUCCUGAUGUUUUGCUCAAUGAUAUUGCGGGCCCGGAAGGAGAUCCUCUGCUUUUGAGUUUAAAACUCUCUGUAGAUGUUUUGGUAAGUAAUUCUAAACUUGGAUCCCCUGACUUGUUUUUUGUGCUUCAAGUUCGUGGUUAAUACUACAUGGGUGUGUCCUUCCUUUGCCAUUUCUUGAGCAUGGAGCACUCCUAUUUUACUGGAUUUCAGCUUCUGUUGUUGUUCAGGACAUGCUGGACAAAACCUUGCAUACCAUUUUUCUUAGAAAUCUUGAGCUAAUGUAAACAGCUAUCAAUUUGGACUUUCAAAUCGGUAAAAUCUCAGAUAUUGUGAUCUAUAUGAAACUGACUUUACCAGUCGAUCACAAAAUGCAUAAAUGAAAGAGGAAAAGAACAUUUGGGGUCACAAAUGAAUGCAUGAAAGAAGGUCAAGUUUUUAAGAAAGGAAAGUUCAUGCAGGAUAAAGCCGGAUUUUGGUUUUGUACUUUAGUUUCGAGUUAAUUUUUUUACAACUAGUGUUUCCUUUUGUAGGUUGUUUCUUGUCCUUGUGCAUUGGGUCUUGCCACACCAACAGCAAUCCUAGUUGGCACCUCACUUGGUACUUUAUUUAUGCCUUCUGCAUUUAGUAAAUUUAGAUGAGUUUUACUUGAACUGUGAAUACAUACAUUAAAUGUAUCACAUCACUCUUAUGGCGACAAACCUGCUCAUUCCUCAAAUAUCGAAUUAUUAUAUCCAAUUUACAGUUUUCCAGAUUCCCUUCCUUGAAAAAUUGAAUGACAUUAAGAUAUUUUCUCAUUUCAUUUUCCAUUUAACUUAACCGUCUUUGCAAUGACCAGGGGCAAAAAAGGGACUUCUUAUCAGAGGAGGGGAUGUACUAGAACGCUUGGCUGGUGUAAAUUAUAUUGCUCUAGACAAGGUAAAUUUGACGUUCAUGGACUGGUAUCUUUUUCUCUCCUCUUCAUACAGAAUCACAAAUAUUUACAUAUAUAUGUAUGUAUAUGUAUGUAUGCUGUGUAUGUGUCUGUAAUAGAAUCUGGAUACAUUGGCACGAAUGUCAGUUAAUCAAAAUCAAUCUUACACCUAUUUUAUGAAUUUAGUAGCUUGUAUUUCUUAAAGAAAACACUGUUCAAAGUUUGUAGUAUAUUCAUACAUAUCAUAAUUAAAAAAUAUUUACAUUAAUCUUUGAUGAUUUAUUCCUUCAUUAAAAUUUUUUCAGACUAAAUAAAUAUAUACUUUUCAAAUAACAGAAAAUAUUGUCAGUCUGAUCCAUGUUUAUUUUCCUUUAAAAUAAGUUGGAGUUUACGUUCAACAUACUAAUUACUUAUGAUUCAGCAAUAUCAUUGAGCCAGAACAUUUUUUUUUAAGAUUAGGGUUGUGUAGUAUGUCAAGAUUUGAACCAAUGACAAUUGAUAACAUUCAGAAUUUGAGAGAAGAAAUGUAAGUAUGUAAGUCAGUGACUCACUUCUCAUGUUUGCCUUAUUGAUUCAAUCUAUAUGGGAUCCUGUAGUAUAGUGUAAUAUAUAGCUUAUAGGAUACAUAAUAAAUGAACACGAUUAAUUAUUUAAAGAUAAUCCGAAUGCUCUUCCAACUUUGAACAUUGACCAUCAUUUAUCUCAAAAACGAAAAGGAUGAAAAUUUUCUAACACCAAACUUUCAGACAGGAACCCUUACCAGGGGAAAACCAGUUGUUUCUGCCAUUGGCUCUAUUCAUUAUGGAGAGUCAGAAAUUCUUCACAUUGCUGCGGCAGUGGAGAAAACUGCAUCUCAUCCAAUAGCAAAGGCUAUUAUUAAUAAAGCUGAGUCAUUAGAGUUGGUCCUUCCACCCACAAAAGGACAGAUAGUUGAACCAGGUUUUGGAACCUUGGCAGAGAUAGAUGGGCGUUUGGUUGCGGUGGGGUCUUUAGAAUGGGUCCAUGAGCGUUUCAAUACUAGAAUGAACCCAUCUGAUUUGAUGAAUCUUGAACGUGCUUUGAUGAAUCAUUCGUCGAGUACAUCAUCUUCGAAGUAUUCGAAAACAGUUGUCUACGUUGGACGUGAAGGAGAAGGCAUCAUUGGUGCUAUUGCCAUAUCUGACAUCGUGCGUGAAGAUGCUGAAUCUACUGUAAUGAGGUGCUUAUAUUUUUCUUUAUGUGCUCCUCAGAAUUACAACUCAUUUUAGGUAAGUAAUACACUGCUUCCUCUUUCUGGCCAUAUGUGAAAUUGGUUCUCUUUUCCAGAAAGAGGAGCAGUGCAUUUUUUAGUAGCCUUUACUUCAAGCUCAAAUUUAAUGAUGCACCCUUUUCUUACCCAUUUGUUAAUCCCUUGUAAAUUGCAAGAGAGAAAUCUGAUAAAAAUAUUUUGACUAUCUUGGAACCACCCAACUGGUUAUUGGUUAAUGAUGUUCAAUAUAUGGUUAAUGAGUAACUACUGUUGGAGUUAAUAAACUAAUAAUUAUCCCUAAACUGGAAUUUUUUUAUCAGUGCUUUUUUGUAUCUUCCUCUUGUUAUAUGCGCACGCAGUUUUUUCUGACUGCCCAUUCUCCUCGGAGAAAGUUUAUAAAGUUUUUUUUUGCUUCGAGCCGAGUUUACCAUUCACAUCACUAUAUUCAUUUGUAAUAAGUAUAUGUAGAUAUUUUAGUUGAACUAGGCCACCUAACAAAACCGUUUUACAUUUCUCCUUGUGACAUGGGCAUUGCAUUAAAUUGUAUGUACUUGCUAUCAUUAUUUCCUUUUAAGAUUUAGGACUAUUUGCUAAAGUUUGACCAUUCAAAUCUACACUUCGCUCUGGAUUUCAUACCACGUUUAUUUGAAGUACUUGCUAACAUCAAGUGUGUUUUGUUGUUUUCUAAUGCUUGGUGGGUGCAUUUUCCGGCUGACUUUGUUGUCUUUAUUGCAAGGCUCAAGAAGAAGGGAAUUAAAACGGUCCUCUUAUCAGGAGACAGGGAAGAGGCAGUUGCAACAAUCGCAGAGACUGUUGGGAUUGAAAAUGAUUUUGUCAAAGCAUCCUUGUCUCCGCAGCAGAAAUCUGCAUUCAUUUCAUCUCUAAAAGCUGCUGGACAUCAUGUUGCGAUGGUAUGAUGAAGCUAUACCCCCAACGCCUCCACAUAAAAAGAAACUAUCUUUGUAACUCUCUCUAGCUAAGUAGAGAAUCUUGUUAUGAUAAAAAGGUUCUAAUGUAGGGUAGGUUUAGUAGACAGGUUAGAACAAGACAGAGUAGCACAUAUAAGUUGCAUAUUAAAAGUAGAACAUAAAUGUCCAUGAUAUAAAAAAGACAGUACACUUUUUUGUCGGUCUAGACCAUUGGUAUCUGAAAGUCAUAUUGGACCCCAACUAAUCCAAGUUGUGCCGGGUAGACCCAUACAAGGGUGAAAGCUCUCCCAAUGCCUAUUUUUUCAUUCACAAAACUGAACACUUGGCGUCAUGGAAACCAAGCUCCUCUUCACUCGGACCAACAUGCAUUAUAAAUGUCGUACAUUUUGGUUUCACUGAUUAAAGUGGAACCAGAUAGAGCAAAACAGAUUGUCAUUCUAUCUGUAAUAUAUGCCAAUACUACCAUAAAGUGAUAAUGAAUCUGGUCUUAAACAUUGCUUGCAUCUGUUACACUAAAUAAUUGGAUUUCUUUCUAUUUUUAUUUUUGAUGUUAUGAUGCUUAUGGUUGCUCUUCUUUGAAUAGCACGACAAUGGAUCAGCUGCACUUUGAAAUGCUUUUGCUAUAAGCAUAAGCAUCACACAGGAUUUUUAUUAAAGUGCAUCUAUCAAUGAAUAUUGAAUGGAAAAUGGUGUUUUACUAAGAAAUGUUUUCUCUCUCCUUCUCUAAGGUAGGUGAUGGGAUAAAUGAUGCACCCUCUUUGGCUGCAGCUGAUGUUGGGAUCGCUCUGCAGAAUGAAGCUCAAGAGAAUGCUGCCUCAGAUGCAGCAUCCAUCAUACUUCUGGGCAACAAAAUUUCACAGGUAUGUCAUUAUGAUGUCUGGGAUUCAUUAAGUGUCAUUAAGUUUCUUUUUCAUUCUUUAGUUUAUAGUGUGGUACUUCUACAUAAACCCUCGUGGUUCUGUUAAGACUGCAUACUUGGAACACCAGCCACCAUAUAUGGCUUUCCGUCCUUUUGUUUCCUGACUUUUUAACGGACAGGUUAUUGACGCAUUGGACCUAGCACAGGCAACGAUGGCAAAAGUUUACCAAAAUUUGUCCUGGGCAGUAGCAUACAAUGUUAUUGCCAUUCCCAUUGCUGCUGGAGUGUUACUUCCCCAAUUUGACUUUGCUAUGACACCUUCACUUUCAGGUGAGCAACCUUGUACCACUAAUUUAUUUUUAUGUUACAGCGGGGCAUAUAAAGCUCUAUUUUCGUACCGUACUUUCAGUUUUUCUUCAUAUAUUUUCUGCACACACCCUACCAUAUCGUUUUUCGAAUAUAUUUUCUCUGUCAGCGGACAAAUGGUUAUUUCUUGUUUGUUACCUUUGAUAUUUAUUUAAUCAUCACAGGAGGACUAAUGGCUAUGAGCUCCAUCUUGGUGGUUAGCAACUCACUGCUUUUAAAGCUUCAUGGGUCUCCGACCUCGGGAAAGGGCUCACUCUAGUGACAUGUUAUCUUGUCUCUAAAGUAUAGGAUUCAAAUUUUCAUCUGUAUCAAUUAUUUUUUUACUACGAAAAUAUCAAUAAUUAUUGUAUAUCUUCUUCUGUAACUAACAAUAAACAUUAUGGUAGAUUGUCAAAAAAACAAAUAUUAUGGUAGAUAUAAUGUAAUUCUCUCAGAGGAUAAGUUUGAAAAAAUAAUAGAAAUAAUAAAUUUAAUACUACUGUAAAUUUUCAUUUUUUAGUAAAAAAUAAGAAAUGAUAUAACUUUUACAAAAUACUAUAAGAGAUUACUUUUGAUCAACAAGGGCAAUUUUAAUAUAACUUUUUCCUUCAAAAAUAUAACUUUUAUCAAUUGAGAAAUGAUUUUGAAACAAAAAACAAAAGAAUGGUAAUAUUUGUAUAACCAUUCCUUCAAAAAAAUAUUUGUAUAACCAUAAAAAAUAAUGGGUCAUUUUAGAAAGAAAAGAAAAUUGGGAUCGCGUUUAUAAAAUAAUAAUGGAUCAUUGAUUUUGUAAAAAUAUUUUUAUUUUCAUUUUCUAUAAUUUGUGUUAGUUUUAUUUGUUAAUAAAAAGAAGGGUUAAUUGUGCUUUACCCCCUGUAAUAUAGGUCGUUUUUUAUUUUCCCCCUGUAAAAUAAUUUUUUUGAUUUACCCCCUAUAAAUUUUUUUUUUUUUACGAAAAAAUUCUGCAAAAAAAAAUAAAGUCGUUUUUUUAUGAUCUAUUAGGGGGGUAUUCCAAAAAAAUAAAAAUUUACAGGGGGUAUUCCAAAAAAAAAAAAAAUUACAGGGGAAAAAAUAAAAAUAAAAAAUUUGAGGGGGAAAAACCAAAAAUGAACUAUAUUACAGGGGGUUAAAGCACCAUUAACCCUAAAAAGAAAAGAGACUAUGUCCUCGUAACUUAGCUGCAUAAUACGUGCAAGGUCCGGGGUUCAAUCAUCGGCCUCAACAAAAAAAAAAAGAGACUAUUGGAGUAAACAGUUGCAUUGCAUUUUAUUUUGUACAUAGAAGAAAUGACAAAGUCAUCAUAAACUCACACACAUAGAGUGGAGGUGUUGAAGUUUGAACCCCAAUCAAAAAGUCGGGCUUAACAAUUUCGACAUUUUACCGAUUGAGCUAAAACUAAUGGAACGUUGCAUUGCAUUUUUUAAACAAUGAAAAUGUCAUCUUCAUUGUCUCAUGAAAUGCAUAAUCUUUAAAUAUUAUUUUUUCCCUUUCGGCAACAGUUAAUCGCUUUAAAAGUCCGUGUUCUUCUCGUCAGCAAGUUAAAACAAACACAUUUUAAUAAAUAAAACAAAGUAUUUUCACAAAGAAAACAAACCUUCCCAAUAUCACCUUUUAUAGGUGAUAAAUUUUGAAUCCAUGAAACAAACAGCUACUAAAAAUUUGGAUGAGAAUGACUAAUUUGAACUAAUAGAUUAACACUUUUGUUUAGCCCCUAUGAGUUUAGCUCAGUAGGGACAAAUGUAUAAUAUAUGUAGGGGUCGUGGUUCGAACCUCGAACAUCCCAUUUCUCUACAUUUAAAAUGUGUAAGCUUCAACCACUAGGCUACAAGUCAAAAAUAAAAUAAAAUUAACACUUUGUUUGAGUGUCAAAUAGAGAAACAAUGAAGAGAAAAAUAAGAGAGAAGGGAAAUAAAAGAGAAGUUGAGUAGAAACUUUGUAAUCUUUGAUGAAUAGAAUAGAGACGAGAUAAAUAUAAAACCUUCUUUUAGAUAAAUGAAACGAGUAGAUUGAAAUUAAUACCGAUGACAAAACCCCUAAAAAAAAGUAAUGGUAACAGUUAAAUUUAUAAAAUUAUAAUCUGAAUAUAAUUUAUUAUGUUUAUUUGGAUCAUGCUUAUUAGUAUCGUGGAGAACCAGUCAACGAAGUAAAAAAAAAAAAUUAAGUUAAAAAUGAAAUUUUUUUAAACUUUUGAGAAAUUAACUGCACUACUUAACAUAUUCCUUACAAUUUUCACACUCUUAACUUUUGAGUAGUGUUAUUUGAACAACUCUUUUAAUACAACUUUUGUGACAAUCUUGUUAUUUUUUCUUCUCAUUGGUCAAUAACAAUGGAUAGAGAAAAAGGAAGAGAGAGAAUAAAAAGAUAAUGUGAGUAUGAGAGAGAAAGUUGUACAAAAGUGGUUGUACAAAUAUCAUUUCUCUAACUUUUUCACUCAACCGUUUUUUUCUUCGGACAAAAAACAUUCUUAACUUCAACUGCUCAUUAGUUUUGUAUUUUGUUAAUAGUAAGUAAAUAAAUGGUAUAUAGGCCUAAAGUAAAGAAAUCGUGGUAUUCCUACAUCAUAUGAACGUACUUUCAGUACAUAAAACAUGAGACAUGUUACAACUUGCUAGGCAAAAAAAAAUAAAAAAUGUUAUGAAAAAUCUCUUUUCAACGCUCUCUUUUUUAUUAGAUAAAAUUAAUGUAUGUCCACCACUUUAAGCGGAAUCUAUUUCUACCCACCUUAAUUUAAGCCAAAUAAAAAGUGAGUGUUUGAGAGAGUAUUAAAAAGAGAGCGUUGCUAGCAGUUUUAAAACAAAUAGGAGAGACAAUAACAGGAAAAAAUAAUUACCUAUCACGCCUACAUUAUCAAGAGAAAAUUAAAGUAAUGGAGGGACAAUAUAUAUGUUAAUCCCUUACGUUUCUUCACCAGUCUAGCCUAAGAUGGAGAUAUUAUUUGUUGGCUAUUGCAUUAUUUAUCUCUCUCCUUGUUCUUUUCUCUUUGGAAUAAUAGAAAUAUAUUCAAUUUCUUUUUCAUCUCUAUUUCUUUCUUACUUCUCUCAUCUAUAAAUCUACUCAAACAAAUAUUGUUUUAGAGAUCAAAUUGCCAUUUUUAGAGUUAAAAGACUAAGUUGAACACUAAAUUUAAGUAAAGUGACCAAGAAGAAGAAAAAGGUAAUGAAGGUUUUAUAAAACUUCAAAAACAACAUGAUGUCAAUGCGAGGAAAGUUGGUAACAUGACUUAUCUUAGAAAAAGAGUACGAAUUUGAUUUUUGAAACACAUAUUUGUGACAGAGAUUAAGCUUGUAUCAAAGUACAUUUAUUUAGGGUGUCCAUUCAAGGUUUAGAAAAUAUUAAAUUGAAUGCUGAUUCAAAAAUAAGAGACUAAAAUAUAUUUUACAAUAUUUUCAUAAUAUUUAUGCUCAUGUUCAACUAUCAUUUCUCCCUCAGGUUUUCUUUUCAUUUUUAGAUUAACAAAAGUCUGUACUCAAAUUCAGCAUAAACAUACAAAAUCGUUAAAAUUCCUAGCAAAAGUUUAACGUCCAUUUGAGUCGUACAAAACUCGAGAAUUAGUCUUCAUUGAUUACGCACGAAGGUUAUUAGUUAAAAAAGGCUAAUUUACACAAUUGAUGCAUGUCUAGAUGUCCUAUUAUCUAAAAAAAAAAAAUCAACAAAAUAAAUAAAUAGGGUAAAUCGUCCCGUAAAGAUUGGGAAAAAACAAAAAAUGGAUACGGUGAAGCGAAGGUGAAGGCGUAAAGAGAAAUCGAAAAGGUGAAGUAACCGAUAAAGAUGGUGACGUGUCGAAAAGGAUAUAAAUAUCGUGCAGUUUCGUCAUUCAAGUUUUUGACUCAUAGUUGUACCCGUUAGAGCGGGAACCCCCCAAAUUUCAUUUCAUUUCACUUCAACCCGUAAGUCUCACUCUUUCUUUCUCUUUCUCUCUCUAACAACUCUUCUGUUAGGGUUUCACUUUUCAUCCAUUCUUCUCGUCUUCUUCACCAUGACUCUCCGCAAGGGUUCCAAGGUUUGGGUUCCUGACAGGGAUUCCGCUUGGCUUCCUGCUGAAGUCCUCGAAUCUUCCAAUAAACAACUUCGCGUUCAAACCGAUUUCAGCAACAAGGUGAUAAUUUCGUUUUUGAAUUGAUUUGACUUGCGAGUAAUUCAAUUGAAUGCUGAUUUUGUCAAGUUCGUUGUAGCAGAUUGUUGUUGUUGCUCCGGAGAAACUGUUUCCGAGAGAUGCGGAUGAAGAUGAACACGGUGGAGUUGAAGAUAUGACGAGAUUGAUUUAUUUGAAUGAACCAGGGGUUUUGUAUAAUAUUCGGAGAAGAUAUUUGAAUAAUGAUAUUUAUGUAAGUCUUUGCUAUCUACUUCAGUUUACUCUUCAGUUUUUAUAAUCUCUAUUUAUUGGAGUGAUGUACUUGAUUAUGGAAUUGUGUUAUUGUACUUAAUGAAUCUGGAAAGGUAAUUAGGUAAUUAGGGAUUGGUACAUUCGUGUAAUGAUAGCUCGAUUGCAUUACUAGAUUAUCAUAUGUAGAUAGUAGAUACUGUUAUUUUAUGGAAAGUCUUGUUCUCUCUGCCACAAUUUCACUGAAGCAUAUCAUAUACGAGAAGAAAACAUAUGGUUUAUUGUCACUCUCUGUUUCUGAACUUAAAUUAAUGCGUUCAUUUAUGAAGACCUUUUAUAGUGGGUUAUCAGUACUAUAUCACACCACAUUCAAGUGUGCAUUACUUACCUUACUUCACUUGUUCGCUGAUACUGACAAGUCCACUACAAUUGCCUAAACUAGUGCAUAAUAAAUAGCUAUAAGCACUUCCUUUUCCUUUUUCGUAAUUUCACACAAUGAAAUUUAUUGUAAGAUAUUUUCUGUGGGUACUUUUUUUGUUUUAAAUGGCAAAUCUAGCAAUAAAAUAUAUGAGAAAGCUGAAACAAAGUACAAGUCGUACUUAGGUCCAGGGGAGAAUUUUGUGGGCACUGUUUAUGACACUCCUUAACAAAAUGCAUCAUGCACUAUUUUAUGCAUUUUGUCUGACUUGUCUGUCUUUGUUAGACAUACACGGGGAGCAUUUUAAUAGCUGUCAAUCCAUUCACAAAGCUUCCUCAUUUGUACAAUAACCAUAUGAUGGAGCAGUAUAAGGGAGCUCCAUUUGGUGAGCUCAGUCCACAUGUAUUUGCCGUUGCUGAUGCAUCAUAUAGGUUGGUGUGCUUUUGGUUUUGGUGUUGUUUAAUACUUGCCAUUUCAUUUUCAAGUUAGUAAGUUUCUGUUGGUCAUGAUUUAGAGCAAUGGUGAAUGAAGGUCAAAGCCAAUCUAUCUUGGUCAGUGGUGAAAGUGGUGCUGGGAAAACUGAGACAACAAAAUUGAUUAUGCAGUAUCUUACCUUUGUUGGUGGGCGUGCUGUUUGUGAUGAUAGAACAGUUGAACAACAAGUUCUUGAAGUAAGCUAUCAUUGUUAGGUGAUUAAUUCACUUAGAAUUUUUAUUUAUGCAUCAAUAUCGGGUGCUAAUUUCACCUUUUUCUUUACUCAGUCGAAUCCGCUUUUAGAGGCAUUUGGCAAUGCAAGGACCGUCAGGAAUGACAAUUCAAGGUGAACUUAGUUCUUUGUAGUUUACAUCUUAUGCCAAUCUCUAGUUUUUUUUUUCCCCACUUACCUCUUAGAUUAUAAGAAGAAUAAUAUUGCAUUGAGUCCUUUUCCAUGUUAUGAUCCGGUCUUAUCUUUUUAUUCAUCCAAAGCUUGCUAUCUACAUAACUAUAUCUAUAAUUGUCACAAUCUCAGUCAUGUCUAUAUCAGAUCCAUCUAGAACCAGAGUUGAAUGUUUUGAAAACACUGUUAUGUAACAAUAAAAAGAAAAUCUUAUGGGUUGUCAGCCAUUUUAGGUGUUCAAGUUUGCUAGUAAAAUGGUUAGUGACUGCACCAUUUAUAAUCUAAAAGUAUGUAAAUUAGAAGAGAGUUCUGGGAUGUUAUCGAAAACUAACGCCCAUAUGUACGUAUCAGGGACUAAAUUCAAGUAUUGACGGUAGGAAUAUGUGUUGAAGUUUGAAAGUUUGAUGUUUGAUGUUUAAGUAGGUGGAGUGGAAAAAUAUUACAUAGGUUUUACUUGCUUUAUUAGAUAAUUAUAAUUUUCGGAUGUGUUAUGAGUUAACAUUUUACAUAUUUGUAGAAACCUUAAAGCGAGCAUGUCAAAUACCCUUUCCCUGAAAUUGUAAUUGCUAACAGUGAAAGACCAAUGCUAUGAAUAUUUUUGUUUGUUGCAGCCGUUUUGGGAAGUUUGCUGAAAUUCAGUUUGAUUCAAGUGGUAAAAUAUCUGGUGCUGCAAUUAGAACUUACUUAUUGGAAAGAUCACGAGUAGUGCAGACUACGGAUCCAGAAAGAAAUUAUCACUGCUUUUAUCAGUUGUGUGCAUCUGAAAGGGUACUUGACCUCCGGUGUAGUAUAUAUUUGAUUAUAUAUUUUGGUGUUAGUUUGCAUCAUAAUACUAUUUUUUACAAAUUCAGGUUACUAUUCUCAUUUUGUUACAGUUGAUGUACUAAUUGUUGUUCUUUGCAAUUGGAAUGCCUCGAUUUUAGGAUGUAGAGAAGUACAAGUUAGGACAUCCAAGCCACUUCCACUAUUUAAAUCAAAGUAAAGUUUAUGAACUAGAUGGGGUAAGCAGCGCAGAAGAAUACAUAAAGACGAGAAGAUCAAUGGAUAUUGUUGGCAUCAGUCACGAGGAUCAGGUGUAAUGAUGUCAUCCACUAGCACAUUUAUUGAUUUAUUGUAUGUUGUCAUGAAUUUGUUUACAACCUUCCCUUAUAGUUAUCCUUUCUUCCUAUUAACAGGACGCCAUAUUUCGCACCUUAGCCGCAAUCUUACAUCUGGGAAAUGUUGAAUUUUUUCCUGGGAAAGAACACGACUCGUCAAUAAUAAAGGAUGAGAAAUCAAUAUUUCACUUGCAGAUGGCUGCUAACCUUUUCAAGUAGGCAAUUUAUGUUAUUUUCAGAGCAUUAUUUAGUUUGUAUGAAUCAUAUUUUAAUUUGGGUGUGUUAUUGUUUAUAAGGGUAUCCGCUGUUAUUUGUUUUUCCUAUUACAUAUUUUUUUUUAUAAAUUAGGAAUAGGAAUCAAUCUAUUAUAUAUUUCUAGUUCCAUUUAAUACUAAUCCAAAACCUAAAUAAGUUGUAAUUAAUAGUGGUGAAAGAGUUUGUACUAUUUAUGGAGGAAUAUAGAAUCAAAGAAGAAACCAAUAUUUCUUGACCUGGUAUCAGAUCCUUCUAGUUAGAACUAUGAUUUCUUUCCCGUGACAUACUAUUGGGACGUCAAUGGGGCGGGUAUGGAGAGUACUUCCCCGCUACUCAAAUCCUCCCCAUCCCCAUCCCUGCAGAUCCCCAUCAACAUGAAAAAAACAACUAAAUUUCUGCUAUUUUCAACCAGUUAGUUGGUAAAAGAAAAAAGUUUAACUAUAAAGCAAAUAUAGCAUUAAGACAUUACUGCAAACAUUACAUAUAAACUAAAAUUCUACACAUUCUGUGAAAAGACAAAUAAAUAUAACAUGUCAAAUAUGUGUAUAUACAAAUAUAAAAAUACUUGAACAUGUUGGAUGCUUGGUUGUUUCUCCUUAAUAUUUAAUAACUGAUCAUAAUUUCACAAAAGUUUUCAUCCUUUGGUAGAUCUAAUUGAAUGACUACGCUACAACUGUUCUCUCUUUAGGUGUGAUCUGAACCUACUGCGAGCAACAUUAUGCACUCGUUCAAUACAAACCCGUGAAGGAAAUAUUGUCAAAGCUCUGGAUUGUAAUGCCGCUGUUGCUGGCAGGGAUGUUUUGGCGAAAACCGUCUAUGCUCGUUUGUUUGAUUGGUAUGCUCAUUAUCAAUGUGGAAUUGUUGAAGAUUUUUUUUCUUUUUAUCAUGCACAAAUUGGGGGAAAGUUCUAUUUAUUUUUUGUUGUUCUACCAGGCUUGUUGAUAAGAUUAAUAAAGCGGUUGGGCAAGAUAUCAAUUCCAGGAUGCAAAUUGGAAUAUUGGAUAUAUAUGGUUUUGAGUCUUUUAAGGAUAACAGGUAAGAUGUUUUCAAGUACAUGCUUUUCUCUUGGAGGUGAAGGAAUUUUCUUUUGGUCAUGUGUACCAUUUACAGUUGAAGUGUGUGGGUUAACUGUGUAUUUGAAGUAUUAGAAUAUCCUGGUGCGUGGAUCAGGCAUGCGUAUCUACUUUCCAUUUCUCUAGUGUUCGUUUAAGUUAUAAUACUUUCAGUAAUAGAAAAAACUCCAUAGCGCUCAGCCAUUUGAUUAUUAGUUUAUUACUAUUUUUAGAUUUUUUUUUUGUAUUUCUAUUAUUAGAUUUGAUUUUUCUGUUGCUGUUAUUUUGAAUUUUUUUAAAUGACCAAUGCUAGUAUGUUCACAUACAUUAUUGUUAUGUUGUGGGUGGGCCGGUGGGGAUAGAACCCUCAAUCUCCAUAUCACUCGACUCCUUAAGUACCCUAUCCCAACUGCCAACCCAACCCCCUUGCUGUUAUUUUGAAUCAGUAGAACUAAAAUGGGGUAAUGGAAUAGAAUCUAAUUGUCUAGGUUUGGUAGGGAGCCAAAAAUUGGAUCAUAUAACCAUAUCAAUGGUCAGACAGUUUGAGGCCCUAGGAUCCAUUAUAGAAAAUGAUGAGAAAAUAGAGGGAGAUGUCAAUUAAGGAUUAAAGCAAGGUGUCCGAAAUUGAUAAAUACUAAUUACACCAAAAAUCACCACUGAAGCUUAAAAUAAAAUCUUCGUGUACAACUAUAACACCUACAGUAUUGUAUAAUGCUUAAUUUGACAGUGAAGAGCCAACAAGAAAAUAAAUUUAGUGUUGAAGUCUUAGAGAAGUGAGAAUCUUAUGAUAGCAUGCUGUGGUGUUGUUGUUUGAUCUAUGUAGCUGACGCCACUAAGUGGGGAAAAGCUUUGGUGAUUGUUGUAGUUUUAAACUGGCAACUAGGUUAAAGCAAUUGCCUUUCUCAACUCGGAAACAUUUUCUUGAACAGUUUUGAGCAAUUCUGCAUCAAUUUUGCAAAUGAAAAGCUUCAGCAACAUUUUAAUGAGGUAUGGAAUUAUGUUAUGUAUUUUAAUUGCAUUCACCAUGCUAGUUGCCUGGUGUUUUGAUCUGGAACUUGAUAUUGUUCAUACUUUGUCAUCAUCUUAUAGCUUCUUUGUCUCUUGUCAUUUUUCCCAGCAUGUGUUCAAGAUGGAGCAAGAAGAGUAUAAAAAAGAAGAAAUUGAGUGGAGUUACAUUGAAUUUAUAGACAACCAAGAUGUUUUAGAUUUGAUUGAAAAGGUUUUUUUGCUUGAUUUCUUCUUUAGCUGUUUCAGAAGAUUAUGAAUUUUGUCAAUUUAUUACAGUAGGCCACAGCUAGUGAAAUUGAAAAAGGAAGUUAUGAAUCAGAAUGGUAACUGCUUAGCUAUACACAAAGCUUCAAAACCUUUUUUUUUCUUCCCGUUAUUCUGUGUUUUAUGUCUACUGUUUCAAUCUCUCUCAAUUUAUAUGACUUCCUCGGAAUGGUGGGAUGUGCAUAACUAUUGGUUGGGUUCAUUCAAAUUUCAAACAAUAAGCUGGUUAAACCGGCAUAUCUAGAAUUUACUUGACGAAAAUCAUGCCAAAAAUAUAUCAUGUUGCUUCGUUUGGAAAUGAAGUUCCGAGUUUGCAUCAUACAGACGAGUAUGUCACUUUUUUCUCUUGAUUAAGUUUCUUAUUGGUUUCUUGUGUAUUCUUUUUGCAGAAGCCCAUUGGUAUCAUUGCCCUGUUAGAUGAAGCUUGGUACAAUUUAUUUGCUUUAUGGAUUGGUGUGCAUUUAUAUAUUGCUCUCUUGCAAAUUAUAUCCAGUCCUGAAUUUGUCUUCUUUCAGCAUGUUUCCAAAAUCAACGCACGAAACAUUCUCAACCAAGUUGUUUCAGCACUUCUUGUCCCACGCUAGGUUUGGAAAGGAGAAGUUUUCAGAAACAGAUUUUACUGUUUCUCAUUAUGCUGGAAAGGUUAUUCAGUGUUGCUGUACUUUCUCUUGUUUGGCAAAGUGUAUCCUGUAAUGUAAUAUCUUCCGAUAUUUUUAUGCAGGUCACAUACCAUACAGACACUUUUUUAGACAAAAAUCGUGAUUAUGUAGUUCUAGAGCAUUGCAAUGUAUUAUCUUCCUCAAAAUGCCCCUUCGUGUCGAGUCUCUUUCCUUCUUUACCAGAAGAAUCCUCAAGGUCAUCCUACAAGUUUUCUUCUGUGGCUUCCAGAUUUAAGGUGUACAUAUCUAUUACCUUUAGGGUGUUAUUGAAUUUAAGGUGAUUCAUUAUUGCGAAAAAAUUUGCGUAAGAGAUUAAAUAAUUUGAAUUUAAGUUGCUGAUAAUUUCUGUUUCUUGUCUGUGUUGGAUUUGGUGGAUGUGCACCUCAGCAACAACUUCAAGCACUUAUGGAAACACUUAAGACAACAGAGCCUCAUUAUAUUCGAUGUGUCAAGCCAAAUUCUUCGAACCUACCACAAAAGUUUGAAAAUACAAGUGUCUUGCAUCAAUUACGCUGUGGGGUCAGUAAUUUAGAUAUUUUAGCUCCUUCACUGUUAUCAUUCUCUGAAACACAAAUUGCCAUUAUGUCGGAAGUUGUUUCCUUGACUGUUGUCUUGGUAAUUACUGUCGAUCUGUGCAGUUGUUAUUCCUGUGUGUUUUGCACCGAUUUGACUGUACAAAUAGUAUGUUACUUUGAUGGUUUUAUCAUUUGAUUUCUGAGAAUUUCUUUUUUAUGUGUUAGCCCAUUGAAUUGAGCAAUAUGGAAACAAGGACUUUUUUUAUGAAGUAAUUUGAAGGGUUUUUUUUUAAUGACUUUCAAAAUUUGAGUUAAUGUUUUAUAUUGUUAAUUUCUUUCCUUUUUCAAAUGGAAAUUGAUAUGGUUUGACUGAUAAGUUUACAUGCAUACAAAACAUGAUGUGGGAUUUAUUCAGUUUUCUUGGAAAUAAGGUGUCCCCUCAGUAGCAAGAUCUUGACUUUGUAACCUCAAGGGAGAGUUCGAAUCCCUCCAAGGACAGUUGUAAAAUGGCUAUUAGUGCCACCAUUAUUUAUAAAAAAUCCCCCUUCCCCAAUUUUUUAAAAAUAAAGGUGAACAUAACAAUCAUGUUUGUCACCAAGAUAUUCUCCGAAGCAGAUUCACAUUUUCACUGAACAUUUAUUUUAUUUUUUUUGCACGGACUAUAUUUUAUUUAGGGUGUACUUGAGGCUGUUCGGAUAAGUCUGGCAGGUUACCCAACUCGAAGGACUUACUCGGAGUUUGUAGAUCGAUUUGGAUUAAUAGCUCCUGAAUUUAUGGAUGGAAGGUGAAUAUACUAAAACUGUAAACAGUUGAACCGUAAUAUUGUUUGUUUUUGUUAACGGUAUCACUGCAUGUGUAAUUUUAAUGGGAUUGAUGUUUACCUAAUAGUCUAUCAAAUCGGAAAAUGAUUUGGCUAUUGUUUGGAUUAAUUAAUGUUUAUGAAAGUUUAACAGUAAAAGGGUGAGAUUGAAGGCUCAAAGGCUUGACCAAGUUUGAGCUAGUCGUAACUUGAAUAAGGUUUACAUUACUCACAGAGCAUCAAAAUAUACUAAAGUUUAUCACACUCUGUAGAUAAAAGGUUGAAUUUUAUUAGGUUUUGAUAUGUCAAGUCCUCAAGUGGAGGAGGAACUGUAUAAAUAUCUCAGUAAAUUUAGGGAUCAUAGUUACCAGGUUUGGUCUUUAGUCCACUCUACCCUUGUAAUUGCUUUUGGUUUUUAAGUAGGGUUGGAGCAUAAUUACCAGUUUUGCAAUUCGCUGGUUACAUGGUACGGGUAUGUGGUUCGCAAUCUACCAAGAAUUUGGUACAUGAGGGGUAUACAGGGUCGGUACGCUUGGGUUCGUAAUAUAUACAUAUUGAUAUACUAAUAAUUAUACUAUCAUCAAAUUUUGGUCCAGUUAAAAAAAUGAAAUUACAUACCGUGUUCUUUUUAACAUAAGUAUGAAAUAAAAAAUGAUUAGUUAACAAAAAAUUAUGAAAUGAAACAUGAAAAAGAACUAGAAAGGGUCAAAGGAGAGGGCUGACUGUAUCACAUUACCCAGUCAAAAGGUUACAUGGGGGAGAUAAAUUUGAUUUACCAAAGCAUCUGAAAACCACUUCAUUUUCCCAUACAGCUUCAUCUUUAUUGCCAAAAUAAAAGAUAUUGCGUCAUUCUAUCUCACUUUCUAUUGGUUUUUUGGCUGGCUACUUCCAUCUUCACUUGUUCGCCACUUCCAGGAAAUUACAAAACGAAUUUGCACGAAUUGGUACGGAGAAGUACCGUGAACCAGUACGUGUGGUUCGUAUGUCUCAUGGGGGAGCAGCAAAUUUUGUGACUAUGAGUGGGAGGGAGCCUUUGAUUUAUUCAACAUAACAAUUAAAAUUUUGCACUGGUUUCUGGUUUACUCCUUGACCAAGCCUGUUCAUUUGGUUAUUAAAAAAUUAAACCAAAAGUAGUUAUAAGAGUUGUUAAGAGUCCCAUAUUGGAUGGGAUAAGGUAUGGAAAUGAUUUUAUAAGAGGAGGCUGUCCUCACCUCCAAACCGGUUUUGUAAGGGUUGAGUUAGACCAAACCAAAUUGUAAGAUGGUAUGGGAGCCUAUCCAAGAUACAUUGGGCCACCCGAUACUGGGUCACACUCCAAAUAUCCAGUCCUAGGCGCGAGGGUUGUGUGUUAAGGGGCAAUCCUCACCUUACAAGCCGAUUUUGUAAGGGUUGACUUGGAAAGGUAAUGGGCCAGCUCUCCUAUUAUCUAGUUGAAAUAGCUAGCUUGAUCUAGUCAUGAUGUAUAAGACCAUCGGUUAGGAUACUUGCAACCUCAUUUGUGGUUUUAUUUUGCUGAACCAAAAGACAAAGAUACAAAGCAAGUAGGCUUUAAAUCUGCUUAUUUGAAAUUAUGAUUCUUCAUUUACUAAAGGAAAUUGUUCUAGUUAGUUUAUUUUUUUUCUUGUAGCAUGGACUGCAUUAUCUUGAAGUGAUUGUAUAUGCAUUUUAGCUACAAUAAUGUCGGGACAACAAUACAACAAGCUCUUUUUUAGUAUUUAAUUAAGAGAUCAGUGCUUUCAGUUCUCAUUAAUGUUGAUCUAAACUUUUUGUUGACAGUUAUGAUGAUAGAGCUACAACUCAGAAAAUAUUGCAAAAGCUAAAGCUUGAGAAUUUUCAGGUGUGUUUCUUAUGAGCCAUGUGUUCUGCUGUUGUUCCCGAACAAACUUGGAAUAUAAGAGUACAAAUGACUUUAUGAUAGUUAUGUUUAUGAUUUUUCUUCUUAUUCAGCUGGGUAGGACUAAAGUGUUUCUCAGGGCUGGUCAAAUUGGUAUUUUAGACUCUAGGCGGUCUGAAGUUUUGGACAAUGCUGCGAAGUUUAUUCAGCGUCGACUGCGUACAUUUAUUGCACACAGGGAUUUCAUCUCAAUCCGAGCUGCUGCUGUUUCUCUUCAAGCAUGCUGCAGGGGUCAGUGUUGUUGAUGUUUAAUAAAAUAACUUCCCUUAAGUUCUCCAUUAGAAUAUUUUUUUCUUUCUCUUUUACGUUGCUUUUUAAAACUCGUUGUCAAUAAAUAUAUAUUGGAGCACUUUAUCUCCUUGAAGAUUCUGUCAGUAAUAUAACAAUACAUAGCUUCCAUUUUUUGCUUUGGAUAGUACUUGAUUUGUACUUUUGGCUGUCAGCCUUUCAGAACCCUUUGAACUCAAUUAUACUUGUUAUUUGAGGCAUAUCACAUGUAAAUGUAGGGGUCUCCAUUUCCACCAAUGAUUGUCCUGGUUUUUAUCAAUUCUUGUUUUUGUAGGUUGCCUUGCACGGAAGAUAUAUGCUUCUAAACGGGAGACUGCAGCAGCUAUCUCUAUUCAGAAGUAUAUUCGUAUGUGUCAGAUGAGGUGUGCUUACAUGACACUGUAUUCUUCUGCUAUCAUCAUACAAUCAAAUGUUCGUGGUUUCACAAUUCGCCAAAGGUUUUUGCAUAGAAAAGAACACAAAGCUGCUACUAUUAUUCAGGUGUGUCAUCAUGAGAUGUAUGUAUUAUGGUGUUGGUGUGAUCUUUAAAAUGUCAAAGCAAUAGCCUUUCACCGUCAUCAUUUUGAUAGAUUUAAUUUAUUUUACUUAUUCUGGAUAGUGCUUUGAAUUCUUAUGCAUACAAUUAUGAUUGAUCGUGUGAAACUUAUAUCUCACGUAUGCUUUCCUAUGGGGCAUGAUCAAUAAUGCCUCACUUUCAAUUGCUUGACAUUUCCUGUUGGUAUGGUCGAUUCUGAUUUGUUAUUUUAUCACAUUCACACAUAGGCGUAUUGGAGGAUGUGCAAGGUUCGGUAUGCUUUCAAACAACUUCAAUUUUCAAUUGUGGCAAUACAAUGCCUUUGGCGCUGUAAACAAGCAAAAAGACAGCUCCGCAGACUGAAACAAGUAUUUCCUUUUUACUUUUUUCUUAUUUUGAAAGUGGGAAAUGCAUCAAAAGUGGUUCUAACUUAUUUUCAUUUUAAUUUACCUAUGCCAGGAGGCUCGUGAAGCUGGUGCCUUGCGUUUAGCUAAGACUAAUCUGGAGAAACAAUUGGAAGAGCUCACAUGGCGUUUGCAUCUUGAAAAAAAAAAAAGGGUAUUGCUUCUACAAAAAGUUGUCAUGGAUAUGCUAUCUGUGCUUAUCUUUGAGUACCUGUAUAUGUGAAAGUGUUUUGACACGUUAUAUUUUGUUGCUUCUUCCACAUUCUAUUAUGAGUUUCUCUCAUGCUUAUUCCAUGAUUAUUUUAUUUUGGUAUUCAAAUGACUUAAAUUAGAAACUGUUGAUAUUAGCCAAUUUAGUGUAAUAAUGCUUAUGCUAAACAUAUUGAUAUUACCAUAUCAAUCUCAUAAGUAGAAAAUUGUCCUAAUGUGAUGUUUUUUGGUUUAUUUUUGGAAGGUAUGCUCAUAUUUUCAAGUUUGUUUCUUUUGCCUAUAAAAGUUGUCUGAUUUAAAAUUGUACAUAUGAUUUCUCUUCGCUGGUCAACACAUGGUUUAUUUCAGGAUAUUGGUAUUUCAGAUGUUCAAAGGGAUCAGACAUCUCUUUCACAUUGACUAUUUGUGCAGGUUUCUAAUGAAGAGGCUAAGCAAAUUGAGAUUUCCAAACUUCAAAAGAUGCUGGAAGCUCUGAAUUGUGAAUUGGAUGGAGCUAAAUUGGCAACUAUUAAUGAGUCGAAUAAGAAUGCAAUUUUACAAAAUCAAUUACAAUUAUCAGCACAGGAAAAAUCUGCUUUAGAAAGAGAACUAGUUGCAAUGAAUGAAGUGCAAAAGGAAAAUGCUCUGCUGAAGGUGCUUUGAGUAAUGUUGAAUGGUUGUGUUUCUAUUAAAAUUGAGGUGUGUUAUAUUUAUUUGUUUGAUAUUUAUAGGGCUCUUUGGAUGCCAUGGAAAAGAAGAGCACAGCUUUGGAGCUUGAGCUUUUGAAUGCUAAAAAAGACCAUAAUGAAACCAUUCAGAAAAUGAGGGAAUUUGAACAGAAGAGUGCUCAACUAGCACAAAAUAUGAAAAGGUGCAUUUUUUCUGCUCAGGUUUAUUUUAUAAAUUGAUUUAGUUUCUAAGUGCUAGUCAUGUUUGCUCUUUCAAUUGUACUGCACCUUUUUGAACUGUUAUAAUUUUGAACUGUUAUAAACUUAAUUAAUUCAUGUUGUGAUUUCCUUAAAAAUCUAGAGUUUUUGUUUGCUAUUGUUCACUUUUCUACUUGUUUUAAUCUAGUCUUGAAGAAAAGCUAUCGAGUUUGGAGAAUGAAAAUCAGGUGCUUCGUCAGAAAGCCUUAAGUGUAUCUCCUAAGAGUAAUCAUCCAGGUUUUGCAAAGUCAUCAUCCGAAGUAAGUUUCCUCCUGCAUAUUGACAUUCUCUUCUACAAAUAUUUAUAAAAACUUUAUUUUGCAUUAUUCCUUAUUAAUUUGUAUCUUCGUGCUCCGAUUCCUAAAUCGCUUGUAUAUAUUGAAGUGAUUUUGGUGUGUUGAAAACAUCAAAAUUAUUGCAUUGCAUCAUAUAUAGUUUUGUUUCUAAAAAUAAUGUUUUACUUUUUAUUUUAUUUUAUUUUUCUUUCUGAAGCAGAUAAAGUCAAGGGCAAUAGCCCCACACAUUGAGCAAAACCCAGUAUUUGUAAGAUGGUUCCUUCUUUUCUUCCAAUGUUGAAAAUAUAACUUAUGCGACUAUAACUGUUAUUCAUUUGCUAUAAUUUGAUGCAGGAAUCACCUACACCCACAAAACUUAUGUCCUCUUUGACACGUGGCUUGUCAGAUUCUCGUCGAUCUAAAUUAACAGCAGAAAAGCAUCAGGCAUUACUCUUGUUUCCCUUGUUCCGAAAUCCUACACUUUUAGUUUUUGGCAUUCUGCCGUAUUUAAAUUACAGUUUUGUUUGUUUGUUUAGUUUUCAUCUUUAUGUGUUGAACUUGAAUAAUUUAGAUAAAAAUAUUAGAGAAUUGAUAGACUUUGAAUAUUAUUGAUUAUAACUAGAUACUAACUCGAUACAGAAUACUAAACACUAAUCCUUCUAAACAGGGAAAUUGGGAAAUAAAUCUUGAUAAUUACUCAGCAAUAUGGUGAUUCAUAAACUACAUAAGUCACCAUCACAAUAACCAUCAACAGGAAAAGAAGACACCAGUAAUAUGAUUCAUCUGUGGGAAAAGAGUCACUAUCGGAAUAAUUGCUGAUGGUGAUAGAAGCCACUGAUAUGAUCCAUUGAUUUUAUCUUAAUGUUAACAACUAUGGCAACAUUUGCAGAUGGUUGUCCUUUGGAAUUAAUUUACGAAUACCAAACAUCUUUUAUAUAUCCUCCAAUCCAGUAUUCUACAAAACUUAUAAAUGUCGAUAGUCACUUCCUUAGUAAGACUUUCUCUAGCAUCCUCAAAACUUACGUUUGUUCCAGGAAUCAACUUGCUGAUAUCUUCAUAAAAUCUUUAUAGGUUCCUUGGAUUGCUUGUAUGUGCUUCAACCUUAUUGGUAAAAAUCUGAGACAAAAAUAAGGCCUGAAAUGAGUUUAUAAAGAGUGGCACCUUACUAGCCGGUUUUGUAAGGAUGAGUUAGACCCAAUAUAAAAACUUAAUAAACUUGAGGGGGGCGUUAAGAUAUGUUUCAAAAUUGUUCAUGAUUUGGGAGAUCAGUUUAUGUAUUUAUUGUUUUCUUUCUUCGUAUACUUAUUUAUUUAAUUCUAAUGUCUUACCUUUAGGGAUUAAUUUGGUUAGUAUCUUGUAUAGAUAACUAGAUAUUGUACAAAUUAUUCAUGAUUUAAUAUAAAGUGAUUUUCUUGUCGGUCUCAGCUGGCUAAUAGUUGCCAUGUGUUGUCCAGGAUAACUAUGAAUUCCUCACUAGGUGUAUCAAAGAGGAUUUGGGGUUCAAAAAUGGUAAACCUGUGGCAGCUAGUAUCAUAUACAAAUGUCUUCUUCAUUGGCAUGCAUUUGAAUCUGAGCGCACAGCCAUAUUUGAUUACAUAAUUGAUGGAAUCAAUGAAGUCAUAAAAGUAAGCGAUUUGCUCAUAUUUUAUGUGCUACCCUUUGUAUUCUUAUUAUGUUCCUAGUCUUAUUAUCAAAGUUUCUUUUGCAUAGGAAAUAAUUGUUCAUUUAUAGUGCUGUACUGUAUCUCAAUUUUAGGAUGCUCUUAUAAUUUUUUUGAGAUUUAUUUAUUUCUGUGGCAUAUGUUUCAGGUCAGAGACGAUGACAUUGUCUUGCCAUAUUGGCUGUCCAAUACCUCCGCACUUGUUUGCCUUUUACAGAGAAAUGUUCGUUCAAAUGGUUUUUUAACUACCACAGCUCAACGUUAUGCUGGAUCAUCUGGCUUGACCAGCCGGAUUGGGCAUGUAAGUUAUCUUGCUGAAUAUUGAUGUUGGAUUUUUUCACAUGCACAUUACACCAAUUUUUUUUUUUUUUUUUUUUUUGCUUCAAUGUGGUAGUUGUUGACUUGGUCUAAGCAUUUACAUUAUAUUCCUUUUUAAAUUUAGGUUUGUUAUUUCCUAGGUGAUAAAGAUAAACAUUACCUUCCUUCAGAUUAUUUUUUUACAUGGUAUGGAAGGUGAAUAUAGGUUUUUAUAUUGGGUAUAACUCAUCCUUACAUUAUCUGGUAUGAAAGUUGAAAUAUUAGCUUUUCUAUUUCAAUGGACAACAAUACACUAUUUUGGCUAGUAAAUUUUCAUGAGCAAAUUAUAGAUUUGUGAAACGAAAUAUUACUGAGAACUAUUGCUAGAAAAGGUGCAGGAUAUGGUAUCCUUUUGAGCGAAGGUAAAAAAUUGUUGAAGGGCGUAGCCAUGAUCCUAAAUUAUGUUUUUGUUUUUUUAUACACUUGAUGAUAGUCAUAAAUGUUAAAAUAAUAUUAUAAUUUUUAAUAUAGUUAAUCUAAAAUUAGGGCUAGGCAGUAUUUAUAUAUAUGAGACAUGAUCCGUUGACACUGGUGUCAACGAAUUCGUUGACACCAAAUCUCAACCGUCUAUAUUUUUAAUCCAAAGGUCCAUAAUUGUUUGUUAAAUUUACUCACCUGGUAUUUUCUCACUUGAUUCCCACUCGUUUUAAUUCUGCCAAGAACGAAGGGAUGUGUAUUCUACUCCUCACCGAUCUCAAUCAACAAUCACAACAAAAUUUCUUCUGUAAGGAGAAUCGGCAGCAAAACUAUUCAAUCAUUGAUUUAUGGUUAAACAUAUAAAAUUCCAGCAAACUCAUCCAAUCCAAAUUAUUCUUAUAUCACUAUCUUCAUCUUCAAUUGAGAUCUUUAUCAUAAAUUUUGAAUAAAUUGUUUUAAUUCACUACAAUCCAUACAAGAAAUUAAGCAAGAGGGGAAGGAGAUACAUACAAGAAUUGUAUCAAAGUGUGUGUGGGGAUAAUUAAUCUACAAGCUGUCCAGAAGAAAACGAUGAAUAUCAGGAGGCCAUGCUUUCAAUUUGAGUUUUACAAGUAUGCGACUCAAAAAAAGGAUCUCAAGAAAUGGAAAUGUAGAUUAAUUAUGGACCUUUGGAUUAAAAAUAUAGACGGUUGAGAUUUGGUGUCAACGAAUUCAUUGACACCUGGUGUCAACGGAUCCUGUCUCUC